AAGUAUAUGCUUAUAUCAUCUCAUCAACAAGUGCUAAACCCAGACUCUUACUGGCUGUGUUUUGGAACUUGAAAGUUAUCCCAGCCCAACUCUAUCAUGGUUGUAAAAGAGAAAACAGGUUUCCUGACAAAGUACAUUUUACUUCUUAAAGGACAGCUAAUUGUCAUUUAUUCAUGAAAACCAUUUAGUAGUUUCACUUAAGUUAUGAGAUACCUUUUCUAAAAUUUAAUGGAGAUAGAAAAAGAUUCUUGAUUUUGUAUUUGGCAGACUUACAUAAAAGGGAGUAAACCUCCACAUGGUACAGAAAAAAGGAGUAAAAUUGGAUAUAAUUCUUAUUUUAUAGUUAAAGAAAUUAGAGCAUAGAGAAUCAGCAAAUCACAGAACCAGAAAAGUGAAGAUUGAAAUUCUAGACAGUUUAAUUUUUGUUAAGAUCUGUGUUCUCAACCACUGAACAAGCAGCCUGUCUUAUAUGAUUGUGUUAGCUGGAUUGAUUUGGUGUGUAAGCUCAUUAUACUCAGAAAAAAAAAGACCUAGUUAGUUGCUUGUUCUGUUUUUUGGUACUACUAUAAUCUUAAAUAUUGUUAUUCUACAGUUAAUGAGUAUUUCUCCUUAAAAUAAAGUGUAAAGACACCCAUAGAAGAAGCGCUAUCUUUCCAUGUCAAGUAAACAUGGAAGCAGUUUCUGCUCCUGCCUACCCUGUUAUUCUCAAACUUACUAUUUGAAGAUUUAAAUUAAUUAAAUAAGUAUAAAUGAGUGUCAUGCAUAGAAAUUUAGAUUAAGUAAGUCUCAUAUAUCAAUUGUGAGUUAUUGAUUAUUUAUAAAAUUUAAAAAUAUCCUCUCUGGCUAUUUCUGCAGUUCUAUAACUUUUCAGCAGUUGCUUGUAUUCAACUCAUACCAUCUGUCUACAUACAUGUGUGCACACAAACAUAUACAUACUCUGAAACACUGCUAUUUGCUCUAGAAAAGUUAAAUUGCUUUUUUACGUAAGUGCAGGGGUUCAUGUUAUUCUGUGUACCUCACUUUAUUGCUAUCUUGAACUAUAAAGAAUGCAUACCUUUUUACUUAUUCAACUACAGUUAAGGUGAUAUUGCAUUAUGCUUUCCAAAUAUAACAUUGCUUGAAGCAAUGUUAAAUCAGUCCUAACGUAAAAAUAAAGGGAUGGUAUACAGUCUUGUUUUUAUGGAGGACUUUUUCUCUGGAAAACAUGAAUACGUUUUAUAGUCAGCAGUCUCUCCCAUUAAAGGCAUUCAUAAAUCUGUAUCUCUGGGUCAUGGAGAGUGUGAUACACUCGGAAAAAUAAAGAAAAAGACCAAAUGAUUUUCAAAUGUACAUAUUAAUUCUAAAGCUACACUUUAUCUUUUUUUGAUCCCACCUCCCCAAGGUAAGGAAGGAGCAUAAAUUCCAGUACUUAUUUUACUAAUGGAAUUUAUAUGGACAUUAAAUAGUUGACAAGGUGACAGGGUAAUGUAGUAACCACAAAGGAAAAAGAAAGCUACUUGUAAGCCUGUUAGGAUUGUGUAUUUAUAAAUGGGAAGAAUUUCAAGAAAAUCCUAGAAUUUUAAAAUGCAAAUAUUUUAAUAAUUAUUCCUCUACUGAUGUCUUAAAACAUCUACUAGCAUCAAAACUAUUCAAAAUAAGUAAUUCUAGCCUGUUUUAAAGGAAUAAAUGUUUGUUUAGAAAAAUAUUAUAAAGAAUUGCUUUUCAUAGAUUAUGUGUCCAUUUUGUAUUUUAAACUAAAAAUUGUUGAUUAUGAUUGUAAGGAGUAUGGUCCACUUUAAUAUAUUUUAUUCAUAUAGUUUUGUGGCAUUGUAGACAUUGAGUGUCUACAAUGUCUUUAUUCAUUAUUUGUUUUUACACAUUUAUCUUGAUAUUUCAAAGCUACGCACUACAUAGGGCACCUUGAUUAAUGAACAUUGUUUUAAUUUAGGUACCUAAUGAGAAACCUCACCAUUUGAACCAAACCUGAUCCUCUUCUACAUUGGGUCCCCUCGCCCAGUAUAAAACUAGCAUAGCAAUUAACAAGUCUUAGUUUGGACAAAAAUGGCUUUAAAAUUGUUUAAAUGACAGAUCCUUGAGGUGUAGGCCAAUUGUUUGGAUUUAGUGUAUUUGAGAUAAUGUUUAGUUCUGUUAAUUUUUCAUAAGCACUCUACAUGGUUUAGGUGUAAGUGUUUAAGACGUUCUAGUCAACCUGCCUUGGAGCCAACUGAUUAUGGACUGAAACUUCCACAAACAGUAAGCUUCCUUCUUUCCUAAAAAAAGAAAAGAAAAAGAAAUCCUAGUUGGAGGUCCCACCCCAAACCAUUUGAAUUCUUUAUGGACAAUAGAAAUUGAAACUAUGUAACCUAAACAACAAAGAAAUUCAUUUAUAAGACAAUUGGAUAGCACAAAAACUAGAAUUCCAGAGAACUGCCUUUGGCAAGUAUGAGAACCAGGAUAGCCCCUGGAAUUAAUUCUUAAUCUCACUGGGCAGAACUAAUUUCAAUCAUUUACUGUCCUUAUAUUUAUCAACAGAAAAUCUGUUCUGCAAGAGGAAAUAUGAUGGAUCUUGAUUAAGUCAUAGGCUUCAGAAGUAUAAGAAGGAUAGUGCCCUGUGACAAACAACUUUACAAAGAUUGGACUUGGUAUGGGUCAAGUAAUUCUUUAAAAAUACCAUCUCUAGUGGGAUGGAUAAUCAGUGGCCUCAAACUCAGCAUAUAUCUAAUCACUUAUCACCAGAUAACUUAUUUCAGAAUUUUAUUAUCUUAAAAAUAAGUAAACACAAGAAGUAGGCAAUAUAAUUUUGCCUGCUUAAGACUGUGUAGGAAUUCUUGGUUGAGCUCAGGAGAGAGGUAUCAUUUUUGGCUCCUAUGUCAAUAGAAUGUUAGCAAUGUAGAAGUACAUACAAUAAAAUCUUGAAGCCAACUUUUCAAAAGGAUAAAAUACAUUUGAUUGUCUGCAAGUACGGUUUGAAACGUCUUUUGUCAUAAUAAGGCUAUUAUUCUGUAGCAUAGAAGAAGAGAGAAUAUAGAAAAGACACCACCUAAUUUUUCUUGAAAAAGUAACUUUUAGUGAACUGGUUUAUGUGGUUUCAAAACUUUCAGUGCAUUCUAAAUAUUAAUCUGUUAUUUCUGUGUGCUUACUUAAUUAAAGAAAACUUGUACUGCCAAAUAUUGUGCUUGGUAUUGACCUAACUUUGACACACAAUUAUUGUGCUGUCAAAGCAGAUUACUAAACUGUAGAACAAAACAAAUAUACUUAUAAUAUUUAUAUUUUUAAAAUAGUAACUGGCAUUUUAAGAAACCUGAAUUCUAAGAAUUUCAAUAUUUUGCUAAUAAAAAUUAUAAAGAGAUUUUUUUCCUAUGGGCCAUUUUCCCAGAAAUAACUUCCCACAUGAAGUAGUAUAAACCAAGAUUUCUUUUGAGUGCUUCUUUUUGUUGGCACCAUUGUUAGUAUUUCAGUUAUUCAAUCUAAGUCUUUAAAGUGAGUACUCAUGUUCAUUUCAUAGGUUAGGAAAUCGGGACACAGCAAAAUAGAUAACUUGGCCCAAUUUUAACAUUUAUUUGUCGAGCAGUUGAGUUGUGUAAUUUUGAAAUUAUAUACUGAUCCCCAGUACUUCAGAAUCUGACUUUAUUUAUAGGUCAUUGCAGAUGUAAUUAGAAAAUAUUAGUCAUACUGGAAUAAUGUUGGUUCCCUCAUCCAGUAUGUCUGAUGUCCUUAUGAAAAGAACUUUUGGCACUCAUAUGUACACAAGGAGAAUGCUAGGUGAAAAUGAAGACAUUUAUUGGAAUAAUGUGACUACAUACCAAGAAAUGCCACAUUGCCAGUAGGCCAUCUGAGGAUAGAAGAGAGGCUCUCCAUCAGAGCCUCCACAAGAACCAAGUCCUGCAACAGCUCUGGCUCAGAAUUCUUGAAUCUAUAAUUGUGAAAAAAUCAGUUUCUGUUAUUCUAAACCAACCAGUUUGUGAUAAUUUAUUAAGGCAAGAAAAUUCAGGAAGAAUUUAGAUCUUAGGCAUUAUAGAUAUCUAGCUUGUCUUUUUUAAUGAACAUAUUAUAUUGUUUAUCUGGAUUUAGGAAAAUAAGAGUACAUUCAAUAUCACUUAGGUCAUGAAUGAAAUCUAACUUAAGGGAAUUAAUUCAAUCUAAGAAUUAAUGGCAUUGUUUUUCCUAGUAGUUGAAGUGCCUCUUUACAAAGUUGUGUGAGAAAGGAAUCUUAAAUACAAGUUAAGCAUCUUUAUCUGAAAUGCUUUGCACCACAGCGUUCUUGAUUUUGGAUUUUUAUUGGUUUUGGAAUGUGUGUUCAUAUAUAAUGGAAUAUUUCGAGACUGGAAUCUAAGUUCGCACAUGAAAUGCAUUUAUAUUUUAUCUCCAUGUUGUAUACAUAACCUGAAGGUAAUUUUGUGCAGUGUAUUCUAAGUUCUUGCAUUCUGAGUCACAUCACAUGAGAUUGCAUGUGGGAUUGCCACUUGUGAUAUUGUGUCUGUCCUCAAAAUGAUCAGAUUUUGGAUUUUCAGAUUAUACAUGCUCAAUCCACUGUACUUUCUUUUGGGAUUCAUGUUCCUAGAACAAAAAUAACAGAAAUACAACAUGAAUAGAAACAGUUGGAGAACAUAAUGAUCUUGGAAUGUACCUAUCAUUUAUAAACUAUAUGUUAACCUAUACUUAUUUAAAUGUUAGAAAACAUGUAUCUCCCUUAAUAAUCUCUGGACAAUUGUGUAGAUAUUCUCUGUUCCUGUUUGGAUAAGGACUAUUUAAAAAUCUGUCAUUUUCCAAAGACAUAUAUUUUGAAUAGAACCAGGCUUUGAAUACUAGUGCAUUAAGCAGGAAAAAUGUAAAAGAAAAGCAUUCUUUUCAUUACAUAGAGACUCUGAUACAGAAUGUGCCAGGCCUUUUGCCCAUGGCCUUUUCUAGUUAAAACAGAUGGCUGCAGAAUAAAGGAAAAGCUGGUGUUUUUUGUUUAAAAUAAAUAGAAUGAAAGACAAAAUGAAAAAGGAGAGUUAGAAGUAGGAAUUACUUGGAAGGUAUGCAACUCUGCGUAUUAGAAACUCUAAUGAAACACUGGGGAUGUCAGGGUUGUUCUGAAUUUCCAAAGAUAACUCAAAGCCUAAAAGUCCUGAUUUUUUUUCCUUCUAGCUGUAUUAAUUGAUUAAAGAUGAAUUAAGGAGAAAUUUCUUCUUAGAUUCCACAGAGGAAGUACUGAUUUAUAAAGCAGAGAAAUCUUAUUGUUAAAUUUUGGUCAGUGAGCCUUUGAUUUGUAUCUUCUAAUAUUUCUUUAAUUUUUAAAGUCAUCUGAGAGCUGCAUAGUGAAGUAGGCCUGGGAUUGAGUCCCAAUUCUGUGCCUUAUUAGGAGUUCCUUGUAUAAUGACCUAAUAUUUUUGUCCUGUUUUAAAAAUGUAUAAAAUUGCAAAAAGGACACUAUUCACUUUUGAAGAUUCAUAGGUUGGAAAUAUAUAGAAGUGCCUGGAUGCACAACAGUCACUAUAAUACAGUAUCUCACCUUAAUGGGAUUAUUGCUAUGUUUGAAGCACUUGGUAUACAUUUCAUAUCCAAAUUAAGAACUAGUUCAUAUUAUUCCAGUUCAGCAACUGAAAAGUGUAAGGCAUACAUGCUUUGAGUAAUUUGGUGAAGUCACACAUUAGUAAGUUACCUAUAGAUUUGGGAAUCAGUGCUAGAUUCUUACCUUGCAAUUUAUUAACACAGCUAGCAUUUAUUAAAGAUACUAUACUUGGUUCUGUAUUUGGGAUCUCUCUCUCUCUCUCUCUCUCUCUCUCUCUCUCUCUCUCUCUCUCUCUCCUGUCUCUCUCUCUGUCUGUCAUUAGGCUACAAGUAGUUACAAUCAUUUCAGACAGAGGAGAAUGAAGCACAAGGGCAUCAGGAGAACCUGUGAUAGAAUGUUGAGGAGAGAGUGGUAAAUGGCUGGGACAGGUGGAGACUAAGGAGUGAGACAGAAAAUUCAGGAAAAGACCUGGCUUGAGUCAAGACUUGAUAGUAUUGAAUGGUAUGCUAAGUCCUCUACCCUGAUAGCCAGAAGUUCUCAGUCACUUUGGGUAUCUUUGAAAAAAUAACCAUUGUUAGGUACAGCGCAGAUGUACCACUGUAUUUCAAAAAUUUACUAAUUUUUAAAAUGUUAUUAAGUAUACAGUAGGCACUUAAUAAAUAUUGAUUUACCUUAAAAGUAAUCCUUUGUUGGUUGUUAGUCAUCUCAAAAAUUUUUAAUUAUUUCAGUGACGUGAAGGGGAAAUUUAUUUUUGUUACUGAGACACCACUCUGUGGGGACUAUACUAUAAUCCCCAAAAUAUUAAAGAAUUAUAGUGAUAUGUAUUGAUGAUUCACUGAUAAAUAUCCAGAAGAUCAGUCAUUUGUUGAGCAAAAUGUGUGUAUUGCUUUCCCAUCUUCCAUGUUGCCCUAAUGAAAGUCAUAUUGAUUUUUUUCUCAUGACCUUAAAUUUGACAGCUUAGUUAUUUAUUUCCACUUCCAAUAUAAAAUUAGCAUAUUACCUGGUUUUCUUGAUGAUGCUUCAUACAGAUGUGUUUCAUUAGUGCCUCAAAGAUAAUAAAAUUAUUCUUUAAAAAGUGUUAUCUAGAAUAUGAAAUUUAAAGUACAUGAUUCCAAGGUUAAUUAAAAAAACAAAAAAGAUGAUAAUGAUAAAGAGGAAGAGAAAAAUUCAGAUACUAGAAAGAAAGAAUGAACCCACUCACCCACAAACUGAAAGUCCGUUACACUGAUCUUUAAUACAAAUUAUGUGUUGACAUCAUAUUGACCUAAUUGUAAACUGUUUUAUUCAAUUAUUAUAACUUUCUUUGCUUUGAUAUCACCAAAAUAUAUUCAUGUAUGGUUUCUAAUAUGUGUAUUAUUAUAUACACCAAAUUGUUAAUUCUUCAAAUUCUUAGUUGUGUGUACCAAAUUCUAUAGUAAAUAAAGGUCUUAACGGUAAAAAAGUUUACAUUUUUAUUAGAAAAGUUUUCUGAGCAAUGCUGUGUUAAUUUUAAAAACUUACUAUUAGAACAUAAAUUGCGUUUACCUUUAUGUGAUACAGUUUUGACUAUUUUGGAUCUUUUGUCAUGGUAAGAUGCUAAUGAUUGAUGUUUCAACUCUUUUCCAGUAAGAUAGUGCUUUCUUUGUAUUUGCUAUUGAAUGAGUGACUUGGACAAUUGGUGUAUAAUAUUAACAGUUUAAAGACAGAUAGAAAGCCAGAGAUUAGCAUAAGUGUGAUUUAUAAUUGAGUAAAAUGAGACCAAGGAAUAUUACAUGUCUUCACAGUAGUCUCUUAGCCAUUGUUGGCAUUUUACAAUCUCUACAAGAACACUGAAUUAUAUGAAUUUACUUACAUGUAUAUUACACUUUAUAUGUGACAGAGAAUGAAUUUUCAUUGAAAUCAAUGAAAUCAGUUCAUUUUACCAAUAACAGUUUAUUGGCUUAUGACAAGUCAUUUAAUUAUCUCACUUCUCUAACAAGUGUGAUAGGCUAAAUCUUGUCCUGUCAUUUGUAAGUGAAAGUGCAUGAUUUUUACAGGGAAAUUAUGCACAAAUAUCAAAAUUUCAUUAUAUUAAAAAAUAAGUGUCAAUAAUUAUUUCUCACAGUACUUACAUAAACUCUGUCAUGCUGUCUGUGAUAAAGGUAAAUUUUAUGAAAUGAACAUUGAAAUACAGUGUACAGAUGGACUGUUUUGUUAAACUUUAUCACUGUGUGAGCUAUGCGGUACUUUCAAGUAGCUUUCAUCUGCCUCAAAUUUCCCCCCAAACAGAAUAGUCAAAUAGUACCUCUGUAAUUCUCUCAAUUUUCAAAGUUGCUUUGCUCAGUAUUUUUACUAAUGAAUGGAUAGUAUUGAGCAAAAUCUUUUAGGCCAGUAAUAAACCAAAUUCUACUAAUUCAUUAAAAUAAUAGGAAAACAUAAGAAGAAGCUUAGAGGAAAAAAAAUAACCUUUUUCUCAGGCAGGAAACAAACAGACUAAUUAGACUGACUCUGAUUUUUUUGUGGCCUGGAGCAAAUAUUUUAGUCUCUUGGAGCCACCAUUUCCACCUUGGUAAAAUGCUGGUAAUCCUUAAUUAUUCUGUUUUACAGGAUUUUAAUCACGUUGGAAUAUUUUUUGUCAAACUGUUUUGAAAAUUGUGAAGUACCUCACAAUUGCAUUAUUUCAUUUGGUUUCCCAGCAGUGCCGGAACAUCUUCACACAUUGUUGAUCAAAUCAUUUAAUCAUUCAUUCCACAUUUACUGAACAAACAUUAAUUGAAUUCCAGAAGCUGUGAUUCAUGUUAGCAUUAAACAUCAAGCCAUUCUGCCUCCUUCUUGAGUCAAAAAAAAAAAAAAAAAAAAAAAAAAAAAAAAAAAAAGCAAAGAAAAGGAAAAGAAAGAAAAGAGAUGUGAGCUAGGGGGCUGGGGAUUUAGCUCAGCGGCAUAAACGCCUACCUUGCAAGGAGGCAGUCGUGAGUUUGAUCCCCAGUACCGAUAAAAAAAAGAAAAAAAAAAAAAGAAUGAGAUGUAAGCUAGAAGGGCAGGCAAGCUGGAUUGCACUGUGAACACAUUAGCCAGACAGUGAGCCUUGGUUUGUGCUUCCAGGAGAAAUAAUCUGACCUUGUGUUACCAAAUUUAAAUAGGGCAGAAAGGGAAAAGGAAGUCUGCUCUUCCAAAUUGAAUACACUCACUAAUUCCUCCUUUCCAUGAUAGGAGGUAAAUGUCAUUAUUGUGUCCCCUUUUAUAACUGAGGAAACUGAGUCAGACGGGGCUUAAAUCAUUUGGAAGGAAAUGCAGAUAAAAUAAGAGCAUAGAAAGAAGAGCAUACUAUGUAUUUGUCAUUCUUCUGUUAGUGGAAGAAAUGCUUGACACAGUUUAAAGGAAAAAAAAACCUCAACAGUUUUGGUUUACAGUUUCAGAGGUUUCAGUCCAUGGUUGACCACUGUUUGCAGAGCAGAACCAUCAUGAUGAAAGGGUGUGGCAGGAGAGGGCUGCUUCCUCUGUGGCAGCCAGGAAACAGAAUGAGGGAAGAGCCAUAGACAGGAGGCCGUGUACCAGAUGCAGGUCCCAAUCACUGGAAAGUGUACUGUUCUUUUUUUCUCAUAAUUUAUAUUUUAAAGGGAACAAAACCAAGGAAAAUAUACCAGAAUAAAGCCAAUCAAAACAAAACAGUGUAAGGGAUACAAUUUCAAAAUAAGAUAGUAAGAAAUCAACAGCAGUUACCAUAAUGCCUCUUAGAGUUUUCAAAACAAUUACCUAUAAUUUCAGAUAUACUCAAACAAAAAAAAAAAAACAAAAUAGAACCAAUGAAAACAAACCAAUGAACACAAUAAAGUAUUUCAAGCUAAUAGUACAUCCAAAAUAGCUACCAUAAUAUGUCUUGUUAUCGUUGAGAUAGCUGCCCAUGCCAUCAGAUACAAUAAAAUCAAACAAGAUAAAACCAAACAAAAUAAUGAAAAUGAUACAGGACUUUGACAGUGAUAAUAGGGAAUUGGCCAUGGCUACUGCCUUCAGAAGGAGAUGCCCCAUAGAUGCUACAUUGUGUAUUGUUAUCUUCUGAAAAGAUGAUCAGAUUACUGGCUUUAGGCCUGCAAGUCAGUGAAAUACUGAACACUACAAGCAUUAAGUUAUAUUUUACCUCAGUAGCUAUCAUCACAUCCUGUAUUUCUUUGGAUCAGCACGUUGCUUAUGAAGGAGGGGCAGGGGAAAACAUUGACUCUUCUUGUCUCCCUGCCCACAUACCAGAAGGGGCUGGCAUCUAGUUCGCCCUGCAAUGACCACAUAUGGCACUGACUCAUAAGAAGUGCUUGGUUCCUUAUUGGCUUCUUGUUCCCUUCCCCCAUGCUCUGUAAAUGGUGCCACUCACAGGAAAGGGCUGGCAUCUGGUUUUCCCGCAGUGGUCUGCACAUGGUGCUGACUUGCAGGGAGAGCUUGGCUUCUUGUUCUAGUGUACUGUUCUAAACAUCUCUCAAACCAGUCAAGUUGAAAGUCAUGAUUAGCUUUUACAUACUGGGGCAUCUAAACUGGCCAAAAAGGGAGGAAAUAAAGGUUGUAAAGGUCUGGAGUUGGAGAUGACUUGCUAUGGCAUCAUAUAGUAAAUAUAGUUAUGUCCGGCACACUCAAACCUUCAUACAUGAAAAUAGCCUUUUAAAUUAAAAAGUUCAAAUUUCAUGAACACAGUGAAGAAAUAUAUAGCCUAGUUAUUGUAAUGCAGUAUGUUAAUUAUUUGCUUGUAAGAAUAUGCACAGGAUGAAGAAGUAUAGGGUGACUUACUUUCUGUGUGGAGGAGUCCACAGAAGUUUUCUACAGGAGAUAAUGUGUGUGCAGUCUUGGAUGACAUUGUUCAUGAGAGCCAGUUCAUUGUUCAGAGAGCCAGCAGAAAAGGACUUUUGCGAAUGAUUCAAAGAAAUACUAACAGUGAAAGAGGUUGGUGAUUCUUUGAAAGUACAACUAAUUUGGUAUAGUUUUCUUAUGGAGGGGCAAGAAGGAUUGGAGAUAGGACAGCAAUUGAAAAAUGAGGGAAUCCUGAGAAGCCUUUUUGGUCAGCAUGCUUCAAUAAUAUUGUGCUUUUGGAUUCCUUAUAUUCUAAUAAGAUGUCUUCAUUAAUUUUAAAUAACAGCUUAUCUAAUGUUGGUGCAUGAUAGUUUUAGAUAAAGACAUGAUUACUGUAAAGAGGAAAUCAAAAUAUAAUGUUUCAUUUAUUUCAGAAUUAAUCGUUUUAAAUGAACUAAGUAAUACAUAGAAUUUUCUAUAAUUCCUAUGUACAUUUUGCCAGUUAAAAUGUUAAUACUUUAUAUUAAUAUUGCAUUUUUAUAUCAAUAUUAAUGUUUUAAUAUUUCAAAUUUGGACUAAACUCAAUGGCCUGUGUUUAUGGUGUUCAUAUCUAUUUCUAAGUGAUGAAAUUAAUGAAGUUUCAGGUGUUUAUCUGAGAAUAACAUAAUUUGGUAUUGAAAUCCCUUCCCACCAAAUAAGUGGUUAAUACUCCCUUUUCUGUAAUUUAUCUUUUCAAUGUGACUUUAUAUUUGCUAGUUUUCAUGAUUCAUACUUUAAUUAGUGGCCAUUUGUGGGUGAAUUUGUAGUACUGUGUGACUGAGAUCAUUUUCACCCAGCCCCAUGAUUCCUGACCGAGACAGGCUGUCUGAGAAUUCACUUUAUCUGAUUUGCAGGCUGUGGCCUCCAUGUUAAAGGGAAACUUUAGAUUCUUUCUAUGAAUGUAUUUAAAAGCUAUAAAUUAAAAUUCAAAAUGAGAAGGAUUUUUUAAGGUUAUAAAUUUAAUUUUCAGUGUUCUCUAGAUACACAAGGGUCUUGGAGAACCAUUGUUAAAAUUAAUUAGAAAAAAUAAUAGAUUUUAGAAAAUAAGAAUGUAAUGUAAUUCAUAUUUUAUAAUGCCUUUUCCAGAGGCUGUGGAGACUAGGGUCAGAAAUGCCAGUUAAAAAUAGUUGUGGUAGACUAGGAUAAGAAAACAAAGAUUUCUGAGAAAAUCUUAAGCUUGAUUAAGAUCUGGUAACUUGGUAUAGUAAUUGUUGGGUAGGUUGUUUUUAUUCCAGACCCUUAGGAAUUUGUGAUCGAAGCAAAAGCCUAUUGUCAUGUUUUUGGGAAAAGAAGAAUUAACUCAAAUUUAUUUAUUAAAGUGAUUAUUCUAGGGGAUAGGAGUAUAGCUUAGUGGCAAAGUGCCUGCUUGGCAAGUGUGAGGUCAUGAGUUUGAUUCCAGUACCAAAAAAAAAAAAAGUUUAUUGUUGCAGCAAGAUGACAAACAGUGGUUGGAAAGGGCAGCAGUUGACAAACAGGGAUGAGUUAGGACAUUACUGUCAUUAUCAAUGAGUGACACUCUGCCAAAUAAUUGCAGUGAUUUAGAAUAAGGUCAAUGGACAUUACAGGAUCAUAUGCUGAGUAUGACCCUUCCAGAAGUGUCUUCCUACUGAGCUCCUAGCUGAUUUUGCUGGAGCUCAUCUCACAUCGAAUCUGACCACCCAGGCAGACUAAGUGCAGUUGUACCACGUGUCCCUUCCUGGAACAUGCAGUUCUCUGUUUAUUUUGUGAGGAACAAGAGUAAUUUCCUCAGAGUAUUCUAGUAGUAACCAGAGAGCUAAUGUAAUGGCCUCUUAUACAUUCUUAUCUCGACAGAUGAAUGGAUUUCUAAAUUUAGUGCAAGUGAACAAUGAAAUACUAUGCUGAAAAUCAGUCAUAGGCAACAAUGUGGAUGAAAUUAGACUAUGUUCAGUUACAUUAAAUAAGUUAGGCAAAGAGUAACAAAUACUCUUUGCCUAUACAUUCUUAUCUCUUGGUGGUGAGAAGGGGUAUCUGUUUUAUCCUCUACCUUUGAUCUGUUCAGAAUAUUCUUCCUCUCUUGAUUUUUUUUUCAAGAGAAAUGCCAUAAAAAUGCUGUUUUCAUCUCUGUUAGCUCAGUAUGUCAGUGGUCCAAACCACUCUCUCAGUAUUUUUAAAAUGUGCUUUGUUGCUCUGGAUCUUGGACUCCUUGGAAGCAUAAGUUAUGGCAACAGACUUAGCAUUCUGGGCAAAGUAUGAGAGUAAAAGCAGUGCUGGAAAGAUGCUAACGAGCAGAGAUAGCCCGUGGGCUGUCUCCUGGCUGUGUGUGGCGUGGCACUAAGAAUUUCUCCCUUAAUCAGACGUGGGCCAGUCUUUGUGGUUGAGGAGGGAAAUGGAGUCACCAUGCUCUUGGCCUCACUGAGCUGAAAAUGCUGGAAAACAAUUUGUGUUUCAAAAUUUCAAGGAAAUCUUAUCAGAGCUGGAAAAGAGAAAGAGAGAAAAUGUCAAAGAAAUUGGCAGUUAUUAGUUCUAUUUGUACAAUGUUUCUUGCUUUCUUAUUUCAAAAUACAAGAUUGAAUUGAAUUUUCUGGCUGCCUCUGUAGUUGGAUGAGGUUGCAUUCUUAGUCUGGCCAGGGAGUUUCAGUCAGAAGUAAUGUGUAUGCUCUCAUUAUCAGUGUGACACUCUCUAGAGGCUCAGGUUCUAUCUUCCUUGGUGACCAGCAGCUAUCAAGCUGGUGGCUCCUUAUUCAUCUGUUGUUUCUGAGUAACAUGUCUGCCUCAGUGGAGAUGUCAUUUCUGGAAAGAAUUAACAUCUAUAGUUUAAGUCCAUUGACCUUUGUCUUUUUUUAUGCAACAUACAUGUCCUACUAAAUAAUUUGACUCCAUACUUACAAACUCUUUGAUCUUUUUAAUAUGUUAGGUAAAGCCUAUUAUCAUUGUACACUAGUGGGCUUUUCUCAUAAGGACAGUAGUUUAGCACCAGAUUCUGAUAACACUCCAAGAAGCCUUUUCUCCUACCACCACUGCUGGAAUUAAUUCUGUCUGUGAUUCUUACCAUCAGUCACUCCAGAAUAAAAGGCUGGGGCCUUUUAGUGGAUAGUACUUUUAUAAUAUGUACCUAUUUUAGAGCUGCUAAAAGCCAGGAGAGAAAAUAGCUGCCCUUUUUCAGAUUCUCUAAUGACAGGUAGACUUUCAUCUAUCCUGAGAUUUCACUUUAGCACAAUUCUAUUAGUCUAGGCUUAAAGGCAUAAAAAUGAAAAUAAAUAUAUUUUGUUUUAAUUUUAAAUAACUUAGCUCAUAUAAACUGUUAAAACUUACAGGGUAAAAUGUGGUGUUUCAAUGCAAGUGUACAUUGUAGAGUAGUGGCUUCAAAUUUGAUGUACUAAUUAGUAUAUGUAGCAUUUUAAAUGUCUAUUAUUUCUUUACUGUGUGAACAUUUAAAAUCCAUUAUUUCAGCUAUUUUGAAAUAUUCAGAACAUUAACUGUAUUUGCCAUGCUGUGAAAUGUAAUACGAGAGCUUACUCUUUCUACUGUAACUGUACCUACUACCUAAUAUCUCCACAUUCUUCAUCUACCUCACAUCUAACUCCCACCUACUGCCUUUCUACACUUGUAUGUCUCAGAAUUGGUUUUCAUUACACAUAUAAAUGAGAUGGUGCAGUAUUUGUUACUCUUUGCCUAACUUAUUUAAUAUAACUGAACAUAGUCUAAUUUCAUCCACAUUGUUGCCUAUGACUGAUUUUCAGCAUAGUAUUUCAUUGUUCACUUGCACUAAAUUUAGAAAUACAUUCAUCUGUGGAUGGACACUGCCUUGGUUACUUUUCUCUUGUUGCUGAGACAAAAUACCCAACACCCCAAAUUAAGGAAGGAAAGGUUUAUUUAGCUCACGGUUUGUGGAAGUUUCAGUCCAAAAUCAGCUGGCUCCCAGGCAAGGUGGUAACAAUUCAGUAAGGCAAAGUUCAAGAUGACAGAAGACAGCAAUGCAGCAAGAGCAAAAGGGAUGAAAAAGCUUCUUUUCCUGCCUUAUAUUAUACACAGGUCUCUCCUGCCAUUCCCAGGGUAGGUUUUGUUCACAAAAUCUCUUUGCCCUCCUCUUGCAUAGGAUGAGUCUAUUUAAAAAAUAAGGCCUCUGGCUGUUUGUUGAAUAAUUUAAACUUCUAAGCUUCUCAGAUAGAUACAGUUUCAGCAACAGCAGGCUCUUAGAUUGUUCUGCAUAUUGGCUACUUGUGAGUAGUACUGUGGUGGAACAUGGUAGUACAGACAUCUCUUUCACAGAUUUUACUUCCUUUUUUGUAUAGAACCCAUAGUGGGACUGUUGACAAAUCUUAAAGCCCUACAGAACCAGAAGUGCUAUUAAGUGUCCCACACAAAAAGUAGCGAACUUCAUCCCAGAAAUCAGGAUGAAUUAAUGAAGUUGAUGUAUGUAAGAAGCAGAAGCAUGUCCACUAAAUCAAGAACAGGUGCUAGCUGUCUUUCCUUGCUAUUUAUAUUUUGUAACCGUGUGGGAGGACAAGGUUGAGACCUGUUUUUUUAUGACAGAAAUUUUGAAAAUGAUGCUGUUCUCCAGAUGAUUAUAUCUGAGAGUUUAGGUUUUUGCCAAGCUUCAUUUCCCUCUGUAACCUGUCACUGUUUCUUUAGCACUACAUUUUAACUCGAAUUUUGUAAGCAGAAUCAGAUUAAAUUUAGAUUAGAGUGCACCCUAAACUUAAAAUUUAUACUAACAUUCUCCAUAUAAAUAGUCCAAUUACAUAUGGGGGUAGGUACUAAGAUUUUCUGAUCCAUAACUGGUUAGAUUUUCCUGAUUAGUUAACAUUUUAGGUGGAAGCUGUUCUGUUUUCAGGGUAGUGGAUGUUUACUCCUGAUAUAUUUUUAAAUAUCUAAAUCAGCUUUUCUCUACACUGAAGUGUCUUUAAACUUAGUGUCUUUAAAAUAUGAUGCAAACAAAAAAUUUAAAAUGGGACUCAAUUAAAACCCCAAUUCAAAACUUGAGACUAGUUUAGUCAUGGUAGAACUCAUAUGUGGCUUCUAGUGAAUAUCUGCUGGUGCAGAAGAUUUCCUUUGUUCACAUUAAUACAUGUCAUCCAUCAGCUUUUCAGAGUAAGCUGUUUUUACAUGGGCUUAUUACUACUCUUCUAAGUUUGCUAAGAAAAAUAUUAUAUGGAAAAGUGGAAUUGGAUGGAAUCAUCUUUCUCAAGUUGGAUUUGUUAUUUUAGUUAUUUAAAGGAUAGGUUUUUUUUUUUUUUUUUGUACCUUGCAAGGGAAAGGGACUCAAAGCUUGAUCUUCAACUAGAAAUAAAUGUUGAUGGAAUUAUUUUGGAUCUUGAUACUUUAGAGAGUAUAGGGGGACACAAAAUAUAUACUGGAUGACACAUGUUCAUUUAAAAAACACAAAUUAUAAAUUUGGAAUGUUUAUAGAAGUUGAUUUAAGGAAGUCAGGUUUAUGAUAUUUUCAAUUUUGUGAUAGUAUUCUGUCAGUGAGGUGGUGGUAUAUAAUAGCAAUAGCAGUAAUGCUAUUCGAUGUUACUUUUCAGGAAAGGACAUUUUGCUGUUAAGUAUGUUAUGGUUUGUACUGGAGCGAGGAGCAAGAAACACUGGUUAGUACCAUCACUGUAGUGACAGGCAGCCUCAAGUAGGGCUAACUUGAGAACAUGUGGAUUAAUCUGUGAAUAUACCCCACAUUAGCCUUUGUUUAUGUGUUUAUAUAACACUUAAAAGAUUAUUUUAAAAAUAAAAAUACUUUAUAAUAAGAUUCUUAAAAAUUACCUGUGAAUUACAUCUUUUGUUUUAAAGAAUAUACCAUAAAAGAACAUAGCACUGUUGUUUAGCAAGUGUGUUUUGAAUAGAUUUAUAUAAAAUUUAUGUAAAACUCUUUGAACCAUACAGUUUCUUCCCAAACAAUUCUUCUGUCUUGAACAUAAACAUAGUUCUUUUCUAAACUAAAGAAAGGCAUAGCAUUGAGUUAUAUGCAAGUUUCAAUUUUUUUUCACUUUAAAACUAGCACAAAAGGUAUCAAAUCAUCAGUGAUGCUUCUCUAAGUUUAAUCUUGUGUAGUCAGUCUAAUUGCUAAGUUCUAUUUCUUAACAUCAAAUUCUAAUGAUUUCUUCCACUCUGUGUCCUUAACUUACAUCUGUAAACUUGAUACCCUAUUCAAGUUAUUGUCCACUUCAAGUCCUAAGGCUUUGGACUUCCAGUAAGCACUUAAGCUUACACUGACAGACCUGGUAAGCACAUAGAAAGAGAGUAUGUUGUGUAUUAUUUCUUUGUCUUUGUAGGUUAUUUCUAUUUUAAGUGAGCCUAGCCUCUGGAUAAUAUGAUAAAAAAUACUCUACCAUUCAUUGAGUGUGUUUUCCAAAUAUAAAUGUCUUACUAUAUCUGGUUUAUCUGAGAGAAUGUCAAAUAUGGUGAUGCAUUUAUGAGGUUAUACAUAGAACGUAUCUAGAAGGAAACAAAUAUUUCAAAAAUAAUUUUCACUUAAAAGAUUUAAAAAUAUUUAAAUAUCCAGUGGUUUGGAAAGAUCUUAAAAUCUGUUUAUAUAAAGCCUGAAUUAUUCCUUUUAAUCUAUUAACUGAUUUUCUAUUAUCAGUUUAUUUUUGAAUAUUAACUGUAUGGAAUAUCUAAUGUAUGAUUAAAUAAUUCAGAAUUGUGGCAUGAUUUUGAACAGGAAACAGUAAAAUUGUGAUAAAAUGAAAAGACAUUAGUGUCAUCAAGAAAUCAGGUAAUAUCAAAUGCUGCCAAUGCUGUGGGUGAAAAGGAGCCCUUCUUCAUUGUUGAUGGGAGUGGAAACUGGUAUCAGCACUGUGUGAAUCAGUAUAUAGAUUCCGCAAAAUACUUAAAACAGAAAUCACAUUGAAUGGAGUAUUCUCAUUCUACAACUUUUACUGGAAGAGUUAAAUACAUCAUAGUACAGGCAUACAGGCAUACUCAUAGAGGAAUAGCUCAUAAUAGCUAAAUCAUAGAGACCUGUAUGCCAAUGAGCAGAUGAAUGGGAAAAGUAACUGUGGCAUGUAUAUACAAUGGAAUAUUACUCUGCCAUAAAAAAGAUAAAUUUGGGUCAUUUAUAAAAAGAUAGAAAAGGAUGUACCUGGCUAACAUAAUGUUAAUUGAAGGGCAAGCUUUAAUGGAGUGUGAUUUCUUUUAUAUGGGGAACCCAAAGCAUAAAUAGCAAAAUAAAAGAAGAUAACAAAACAAAGGGAGAUAGAUCUUUUGCAGAAGGGAAGAAAGGUGACCCCAAGAGAUGUAGAGAAGGAUGAGGGAAGGGAUGGGGAGGAGAUGAGAGGAGACUGAAGAUGUAUUAUGUACAUGAGCCAGCUCACCACAAUCAGUGUAAUCAUUAUGCACUGCAAACAUGGGCUAAUAAAAACAAAAAUUAAAAGAAUAACAGAUCACCUGGUGAGGACAAAGUAAAACUGUGCUUGCCUAUAAUCAUUUGUGGGGUAUAUAUAAUAAUUUUAACAGAACCAAGCUAUUGAAGUGUAAGAAACUUUAAGAGUACUUUUAGGGAAGAGGUAGAAAGCAUGAAUGAUCAAAACAGGUAGCAAGAAAGAGAAUAAAAUCAGCUGAAAUAGAAAGUCAACUAAAGUGAUCCCAGCAGGCAUAAUUAUAUUUUCAGGGAAGUGAAUCCCCAACUCCUCUAGUCAGCGUGAGACUGAUUAAAGGGAAUGUAAAAUAUAGUCCACUUAAGGCCAAGUUUGAACAUCUAUAGAUAAAGAAGUCUGCAUACUGUACAUUUCGUGAAGCUAUUUUUAUUUUUCAGGUCACUACUGUCCAGCAAAGAAAUUAGUAUAAUGGAAAGAUGAAUAUUUUUAAAGUAGUAAAUUUUUAAAUGAGGAAAAUGACUUUAAAAAGAAAACGAAUUUUCCUGUUUUAAUGAGCUUUUUCUUUAGAUAUUAUAACUAAGUGGCCCCAAUUUGAAAAGUGUAGUUGCUUUCUACAAAUAUAAUCAAUCUUUGAGACUACAGGGUGAGCUCCAAUAGGAGACUUAGCAGUUGGGUGGGCAGCAGUGUCAGUGUUAGUGUCAUGCUAUGCUCUUUUUACUUGUAUGCAGGGUGGCUUCUGAGGCCACAUAGAGGCUUCCUCUCCAGCUGGAAUGCAGUGAAGUUCUUACACGUGUAACUUUGUUAAUGCCCUACUAGCAUCAGUUCAAGACUAGGUUACUGUCCUCAGUAGUUUGUGCUAAAAGACUAAAAGUUAUUUGUGUGUGUGUGUGUGUGUGUGUGUGUGUGUUUUGCUGUUGUCCUUGCUUUAACUUCCUUGCAAUCAUCAGUAAAAUUCAAAUGAUGAACCUAAGGUGAAAACUGACAUGUUAGCUAUAUCUAUGCUUGAUCAGGCCUUCCUGAUUUUAUUCCCAACAAAAGGGAGCCCAGUACAUGCCUGUAUGUCUGUGAUAGUUUAUAGAUUAAGAGGUUUGGUUGGCCUGAAGAGUAGCACAGUGACUUCUGUAGCAUCUGUUUCCCUGACUCAGAACAGACUUCAUUGCAGUUCCAGGAUAUAUAAUGAAAUCUAGUGAUAGUUAGUUAACUUGUUACUAACUGAUGGUGUAGGGGAAUUGUCUGAAGUGUAAGUAGUGAAUUCAUAAAAUUUCUUAUAAUAUUUCAGAGUAAAAUUGUAGAAAUAUUGAUCUAUGUGUUCUCAAUGAAGACAAAAUCACGAAGUUUAAAUCUAUCUGCACUGUAAUGAUUUCACAGUGUAUACCUGUCUCAAAACAUGAUGUCAUACACUGUGAAUGCAUACAGUUUUGUUAGCAAUCAUCAUUUAAAAAAAAACACUGACCCUUAGCAGUAACCUCGGAAUGUAAUGUGGAUAAUUUUCCAAGCAGUUUGUUUCAAAGUAGAUUAACAAAUAAAAGAAAACAUUGGAAAGACACAUAGUGCUUGUUUUUACACCAUAAAUAUGAUUUAUUAGAAUUUAUUAGAAAAUACCCCUUACACUGAUGCAGUAGGUCUUUAUGUAACAUAUUAAAAACUAGUGCUCUUGUGACAAUAGAAGAAAGAGGAGUUUAAAACUUUCCUAUCUGGAGAUACAGGAAAAUAUUUUUCUGAUUCAUUUUACUAUUCUAAUUGUUUUACUAAGCCAAAUAUAUUUGGAAAAGUGAGGUAGAUAUAAAACAUUGCAUACUUUUGCACAUUUGAUAUGUGACAAUGAUGCACUAUUCUUUCAGUAGAUUGAGAAUUCAAUUUCAUUAAUUUAUCUAGACUGUCCACUUGACUCAGUCAUUCUAAGAUGGGGACUAUUUCUUGCAUAUGGUAUGUCAAGAAAAAAAAUUAUAGUAGUAGCUUCAGUCAUUUCUCUAUCCCAUAUUUAACUGCAGUGCAGUUACUGUUGCUGGUGUAAUUGAAGCUACAAAUGGAUGCAGUCUUAAUGUCUGUCCACAGACUGUUCUCAAAUUGCUCCUAGGCCUUUUGUUGGACUGGCUCAGUUGAGGUGAUGGGAAUGUCAGCGGUGGUAUGUUGGGUCUCGUAUCUCACCUAUAUGGCAGCAGUCUUGCGUCCUUGAUGUUGGUGUGGUGCUCAUAGGGUGGACAACAGCUCCUGGCUCCUGCCUGUCAGAGCCAACUACUAGUAUCUUUUAACCUGGUUUGUCUUUCCUAGUCUCAACCAAUAGAAUGAAGUUCUCUUUAUUUUAACUUCAACAUUUUUAUCAUGUGUAAGAAAACAGUAUUUAACCCAUUUCCCAUUUAGGAAAAAGUGCAGCUUGCUGCCAAUGUUCAUUUAAUUUUCAGUGAUCUAGAAGAACUAUAUUUUAUGAAUGAAAAUGCUACUAAAAAGAGUGCUAUAAAUAGAAAGAUAUGUUUGCAAAGAAUACCAGUACACUAUAGCAAUACAAAAGUAACAAUAAAACCGUGGUAUUUUGUGUCAGACUUUGAAAGUAAGGUUAGGACAAUAAUCUACAAAUUCCUAAGGGUAAACGCUGUAGCCACAAGUGCUGCCAGUGUGUAUUCUGUAGCAAAUGGGAAUACAAAUAAAACUGUUAUUCCAAUAACAUCUCAUUAAAAAACAUUAUAUAUUGUUUGUGGUAAACUAUUUUUAUUAAAACUACUCAGAAACAACCUAAAAGAAUCAUUUCUUAAAUUUACUGAUCUCAUUCAUGCUCAAAAUUGUAAGGUAAUUUUGGAUAUUUACCAAAAGAUAAAUUAACAGAUUAUUUUUUGCCUCACAUAGCAUGUGAUAACGUAGAAACCACUAAGUUCUCUCCCAUGCAACAGUUAUCUACUAAUUGCCAUUGUACAAAGUAGAGUAAUGCUUCUCAAAAUUGGGAAAAAAAAAAGAACAUACUCUUGUGGAAUUAAUUGGAUGUGCUAUGCAUAGAUGUAUUCAUCUCAAUUAUCAUUUGUGAGAUUAGGAAAUAUUUAAGCAAAAGAUUCUUGAAUAGAAAUAAUUAUUCAAAAAUGUGUCUUUCUUUAAAUAGAUUUAGGGACACAUGGUCUGAAAAAAAAAACCAUUUAUAUAUUUUGGACUCUUGGGAAUUGUAUAAUCUUAAAGCCAAAAGUCAGUUUCCCCAAAAAUAUGUGCAUCAAAAUUUUUGCCAGUCAUUCACAAUUUGACUUGGUCAGAUAACAUAGUGGUAAGUAGAAUCUAAAGGGCCAUAUUUGUUAAGUUCGUAUUUUUUAUUGCUUAUUAGACAUUGUACCAAAACCCAGGUUUUUGGGUUUUUUUUUUUUUUUUUUUUUUGGUCUUUUUUGUUUUUAUCGGUACCAGGAAUCAAACUCACAACUGCCUGUUUGCAAGGCAGGCGCUUAUGCCACUGAGCUAAAUCCCCAGACCCCAAAACCCAGGUUUAAUUGGGUGGCAUGUUUGGUUGAGAUAUUUUAAAUGCUCAGUUUUUUGGGUGAAACAAUUUAUAGUCACUAGGAAUUCUAUUGGCAAUAGGAAAUGCAUUAACUCACUCCACAUGGAUUUGCAGUUAAAAAAUCAGCCUUCUAGAUUCUUACAUAUUUGCACAGUCAUAUUAAGUUUUUCAUCUUUGAUAAAAAUUUGGCCAAAUCCAAAUGUUUUCUAAGAUAAUUGCGGAAAACUUUUUAAAAUAAAAUUGUGAAAACUGUAGUGGCCACCCUGAACAUUAUGAAAAGUUAAACUUUCUCAUUUUAAAUGUUUCAUUUUAUAAUUUUAUUGACACACUUUGCCAUGCUCUAUAUAAUACUGGAUGAUUUUAAAUAAAAUGUUCCAGCAGUCAUUAAGUUAGGGUCAGUUGGCUGUGAUUUCAGCCUUAAAAAGUAAGAUGUCAUUCAUUCCAGUCCAGUUUGGCUUCAUUUUGCUUAUUCUAACAUCACAAGAACAGCUAUGUGCUUAUAUUUCUUACACAUUUUUCUAAGGUUAGUAAUACAGUUUGCACAAAUGACAGCAUUGGGUUCCAGACCUUUUUAAGUGACAUAACUGCAAUUUUCCUUUCUGAUCUAUACAGCACACAGUACCUACUUUUCCCAGAAUAACUUUUUUUUUUUAAAUGGAAAUUUCCUUGGGGAAAAUACAUGCUUAUCAGUAGUUAGAGCUGUCUUCUUGAGCAGUCUUCAAAGCUGAAGUAAAUAAGAUGUGAAGUUUAACUUCCCAGUAGGAUUUUUUUUUUUUUUUUACUUUUUCAUUUUUAUCGGUACCAGGGAUCGAACUCACGACAGCCUGAUUGCAAGGCAGGUGCUUACGCCACUGAGCUAAAUCCCCAACCCCCUCCCAGUAGGAUUUAAUUCAGAAUUUGCUGACCGAAUACAAAUGUUCAUAACCUUCUGUCAUAAGAUUUGCUCAUUAUCUUGGUCCAGUUCAGAAGAUUAGGUGUAAAAUAUUAUAAAAUUCAAAAUUAAUAGCUUAAAAAAGUACCAGCUUAAAUAUUUUAUUGUUAAAAAGAAAUGUGUAUGACUCUGGUUCAGGAUUUAUACAUUUCGCACUGUGCGAGAUCAGGCAGUUAAAUGACACUUCAUAAGAUCAAUUUAAUUUAAAAAUAAGGUUCAAAAUCAUAAUAUUAAGGUAAUUGAUUUUUAGUGUUAUUUCAGGAAAAGAUCCAUGUAAAGUUAUGUAAACUUUUAAAGUCUUAAUUUUUAUGGCUACUUUUUAGUAUCCUUCAGUAAGAAAACUGAAAUGCCUCCAACAUCUAUCUGAGAGAUCACUUUGGCUCUUUAUCAACUUUUGUGGUUUGUGUUUCAGAUGUGCUUCCCCCACCCCCAACCCCCAUAGAGUCAUGGAAGCAGCUGAAUCGAACAUUUGCGAUUGGUUCCUUGGCAAGCCCUGGGAUUGGCAGUUUGGUGUUUGGGGUGGCCAUGAAUGACUCUCCUUCAGCCACUCCACCCUGCCUUGGAACCAGUUGAGUAUGGACUGAAAUCUCCAAAAAACUUUCAGAUAAGUAAACCUUCCCUUGCUUCACUUGGAUGUCAGGUAUUUUGUCUCAACAAUCAGAGAAAAGUAAUCAGGACACCUCCUCUUGCUCUAUGAACUGCUCCAUUUUGCUUAUUGAUAAUUUCUUCUCUUGUUAUUCAAAAAAUCAGAGACACAUCUAUCACAGUUUUUAGAUACUUGGUAUUUAAUAUAAGACCAACUGUCUUUAAAUAUGGAUGAUUUUUUUUCUUACUAUCUGUGCUUAUGAUAGUUUUAACUUCUUUGAGCUUUCAGUUUCAAUAUAUUAAUUGGUAAUGUGGAGUUAGUAAUAGAAUUUUUAUUUUAGAAAAUAGGUUUCAAAUAGUCAAUAAAUUAAUGCAGGUAAAGUAUGUUUAAUUAAAUGUUAGAGAAAUUAUUCAAAGUUGACAGCUAAAAUUAAUAAUUACAAUAUAGGAUUUAAAUACAAGACUCAGCUGAAAUUCUAAGACCAGGAACAGUAUGUAGAUGCCAAGAGCAGCACAUCUUCAAAUGAAGUAUUGGAGGCAGUGAUGAACUAGGACACACAUGCCACAGCAGGCUCUUUGUAUCACUACAAGCUCCAAAAGGUUCAUCACCACUAUGCUAGACCAUUCCCUUGGAAACUUAUAGUGAAAGUUUUCAGGCUAUCUUCUCAGCAUUAGAGAUGCACCUUUCCAACUCUUAUGUUUUAUUAGUAAAUGUUUAUGAUGCAUAAUGGAUACAUUUCAUCCUGCAGAGUCAUUACAUGUAUAUACCCACAUCAGGAACCUUUUCAUUUCUCUUUUCCCCCACUCUCCUCCGCCUUCCUUCAUCCAUUGAUCCUCUUCCCAUCUGCAAGGUAUCUACCUCCCCAUUUCCUGUGAUCCUUUAUUUUGCUCUUUGAAUUAUUUGUUCUUUGAAUUUCUCAUGUAAAACAUGUGAGGCUCAAGCUUUCAUGACGGAAUUAUUUCAUUAGUUUUGUGGUUUCAAGGUAUAUCUUUUCUUACAAAUGACUCAAAUUUAUCCUGUUUUAUGCCUGAGUAGUAGUCCGAUAGAUCGAUAGAUCCAUUGAUUGAGCUGUCAUUCAUGAUUGAAUUCUGACGAUUGGAAGGAAUUGCAUUUUGUGGGUGAAAAAAUGUUUUACAGCAGAGAAUACCUAGGAAGUGAAUCAAAUGUUAAUUUAACAUCAUUCACUAUAAUUAUAGAAACAUGUUAUGUUGGAGCUUUUGGUGCGCUGAAACAGGAAAAAAAAAAGGCAGAUUCAAGGUUUUACCACAAAGAAGCUCCUUGGCUGGAUACAAAAUCAAUACUCAAAAAUCAAUAGCAUUUCUAUACAGUAACAACAAAAUCACAGAGAAAUGAGAGAAGUCACACCCUUCACAAUAGCAACUAAAAAAAUGAAAUACUGAGGAGUUAUUCUCAUGAAAGAAGAGAAAGAUCUAUAUAAGGAAAAUUAUAAUACACUGAAAAAAAGAAUUUGAAGAGGAUCUCAGAAAAUGGAAAGACUUCCCUUGCUAAUGGAUAGGAAGAAUAUAUAUUGUGAAAAUGGCCAUUCUCCCAAUACUAUUAUACAUAUUCAAUGCAAUCCCAAUAAAAAUACCAUCAAAAAGAUCUCAAAAAAUCACUCCUAAAAUUCAUCUGGCACCAGAAGAGACCUACAAUAACAGAGACAGUUCUAAGCACCAAAGGCAAGGCAGGAGGCAUCAUAAUCCCUGACUUGAAGUUAUACUACAAAUCAACCUUAGUGAAAUCAAUAUGGUACUAGAAUAAAAACAGAGCUGAAGAUCAAUGCAAUAGACUGGAAGAUACAACCACAACUACAAACACACUCAAAUAUCUUAUCUUUGAUUAAAGGGGCCAAACAGGUUCACUGGAUGAAUGACAGUCUCUUUAAUAAAUGGUGUUGGAAAAACUGGCUCUCCAUAUGCCAAAAACUAAAACUAGACCCAUGCCUGUGGCCAAAUACUAAAUUAAAAUCUAAAUGGAUCAAAUAUCUGAAUAUUAAAGCAGAAACACUAAAUCUAUUAGAAAACAAUUUGGGUAAAAACCUUGAAGACACAGGGAUAAGUAGAGAAUUCAUGAAUAGGAAUCAAACUGCACGGGAAAUACUUCCCAGAAUCAAUAACUGGGAUCAUGUCUUAUUAUAAAGUUUCUGCAUGUCAAAAGAAAUCUCUAGCAUAGUGAAAAGAAAACCUAUAAACUGGGAGACAAUCCUAGUGAACUGUCCCUCAGAUGAAGGACUUCUGUCUAAAACAUAUAAAGAAUUUUAAAAAAUCAGACCACCAAAAUUCAAGGAUCUAAUCCAAAAAUGGACAUCUGAGAUUCUCAGAUGAAGAAAUACAAAUGGCAAAUAAAUACAUGAAAAAAAUGUUCAUUAUCAUUACUCCUUAGAGAAAUGCAAAUUAAAAGCACACUAAGAUUCCAUCACACUCCAGAAAGAAUUGCCAGGAUAAAGGAAACUACCAAUAACACAUGCUGAAGAGGCUGAAGGGAAAAAGGAACUCUUCUGCACUGUUGGUGGGUGUGUAGACUGGUGCAACAUUUAUGGAGGUCAGUCUGGAGAUUUCCCAGAAAGUUGGGAUUGGAAGUCCUAUUUGUUACAGCUAUUCCACUUCUAGGCAUAUUCCCAGAAGAACUGAAAACAUCAUACCACAGUGAUAUAUGUGCACCCAUGUUUGUAGCAGCACAAUUUGUAAUAGCCAGAUCUUGGAAACAACCUAUGUGUCCAUCAACUGAGGAAUGGAUAAAAAAGCUGUGGUAUUUUUAUACAAUGGAGUACUACUUGGCUAUAAAGAAUGAUCACAUUGAGAUAUUUAUAAAUAAAUGGGCACAGCUUGAGACCAUUCUCAUAAGUGAAAUAAAUCAAGCUCACAUGUAUAAACACUGAAGAGUUUUCCUAGUGUAAGAAAUGGUAAGAAUACAUAAAAGUAUGUGGUAAACAUGAUUCCCCAUUAUAUUGCUUUGAAGCCUUAAAAUGUUCUCAUUAAUUAGUUACGAUGGUUUCAUUCUGGGUUUAUAUUAGUGGCUGUGAUGGUAUGAACAGCUAUUUUGAAGAAAACAGGACAUGAUAAUAGCUGGUGAUGAUUUAAUAUCAUCUUGUUUUGAAGUCCCACCAAGCUUAUGUUCUUCUGUCUCCAUAGGUUUUUAUCACAUUGUAUCUUACUGGAUUUUAUUAUAUGUGAUAGGUAUAAACAAAAAUUAUUAUAGACAAGGAGAUAAUAUCAUAACCAUUGUUCAUUUUCUGUUAGUUGGUUCUGAAUACCCUGUAAUACUUUCAUUCUCUUAAAUGGCUUCACACUGUCUUUUUAUGUUUGAUACUAUAGUAUAUGAAGGUAUACUCAAAUAUUUCAAGGAAAGAGACACUAUGGUAGCUAAUGUUAUGUCGGAUUGUCUUGUGGUGAAACACUAUGUUGCCUAAAUUGUUCUUUUCUGACCUGUGUUAUUAUGCCCUCUUUUAUCUUAAUCUUUUUUACAAUUAAAAAUGCAAAUAAAACUAGAAAUACAUUUUCUAUAUCUAAGUUAUGAAUUCUUAAGAGAGGCACUGUCCUGGAUCAUCUAGAGAGUCUUGCCUGAAGUGCUCAUUUGGCUUCUUGGGUGUACGAUGUACUCUGGGAGCUGAGGAGAGAGAAAAAAAAAAAAAAACAACAACAACCAGAAGAGGUGAUGAAUUUAAUAGAACCUAAGUCUCUCAGCCAAAGAACUUCUCUGAGUGGCCAUUGCAGGGAGAGCCACCUUUGGCCAUCUUCUAAUCCUGAAAGGCAUCAAAUACUAAUCAAGACUACAGUAGUGAGGAAGCACCAUCUACUUAACCACUCACUUAAGCAGCUAAUUUUGGUAAGUCAGAAAUUGUAGCCAGGGAAUGGCAGGUAAAGAAGAAAAUCUCAAUACACAUCCAUUCCUCUCAUCCUGGUUUCCAGAUCUUAAGCAAAAUCAGAGGAGAUAGAGGAGAGAACUGCAAAGUUAUGUGAAGUUUGGUUGUUUUCUGGAACUAAAAAUCCAUGUGUUUUUAAUAUGAUAUUAUCUGAUUAAAAAAUGGGUUAAAUUAAUGAUGCUGCCUGUAAUUUCAUUGGAAUACAGGAUAAAACUAGUUCAAAAAUAUUGUUUAAAUUGGUAGGAGCAAAAAAUAAAAUUAAAAAUAUACUAAAUAAAUUAACAUUUAAAAUAAAUUAAAAUAAUAUGCAUGCCAAAAAUUUAAAAAUAAUUAGGGUAGUCAAAUAUGGCUUUAAUAACUAUGUGAUCUCAGGCAAGUGUCAUUUCAACCAGUGGAUUCUUGUAUUGAAUAAAUUUGAUAAAACUUUUUAUAUUUCCUGUUACAUUAUCUUAUAAAAUUAAUAAAAAUAUGCAAUUUUCAGUCAACUGUAUUUAAAUAAUUGAACUGAUAAGUGGUUAAGAAAGUCUUUAUAAAUAAAUGCAUAUUAUCAGAUUGCAAUUGUGUUUACUGACCCAGCAUUUUAAACCUAAGUUUCAUCAUUACUCCUGAUAAUACAGUAGGAAUAUUGUAUUGUAAAGUCUUACAUUUUAGAGCCAUUGUGGAGCAAGUGCACUGUUAGUCUUUGAGAAACACCAGAAAAAUUCAUUUUCCUCAACAGGAAUCUAAUACUACAUUAGACAAUGGGAAGAAUUUUUUCAAUUAGAAAGGGUACAAGAGAUGAGGGAUGAGGGAGGAAAAGAAGGGAAAAGAGAUUUUUAAAUAAAGAGUUGAAAGAAAAAACAGAAAUAGAGUUUUUGCAGUUAUGCAGGGGAAAAAGGGUAGGAUAGGGGAGAGGAAGGGUCAAAAGAAUUAAGAUGUGUUACCUGAUGCACAAAUUCUCCCUAAGGAAUGUGAUCACUCUGUACUAUAAAUGUGUACUAAUGGAAGAGGAAAGUCAGGCGCUAAAAAUAGAAUGCUCAGUGAAGUUUAAUAUUCAGAAUGGGAUAAAUUGAAAUUAUCUCUUUAAAUCACUCUGUUUUACUAGUUUAAGUCCAUUUACUGAGUGUUCCAGAUGCCUUGUUUGCCACAGUUUUACCUAAUUUAGUAUAGCAAUUUUAAACAUAGCUUGUUUAUGUGUCCCAAAACAACUUCUAAUCUGAGAUGGUUUGGUCCCCAUGAACCUGUUGUCUUCAGUCCCGUAUUUCUUUGAGUAUGUUGUGUGGUUCAUGACUUUAAAGAUAUGGACUUAAUAGAUGAUUGACGAAGGUGAUGAAGAACAGGCAGAUAAUUGUUGGUAUCUUGCACCAGUAUCUCAACUAACUUUCAUUGAAUAGUUAGGCAAAAUUAUUUACUUAACAGACUUUUAAGUGUUCUAUGAAGUCCCAGAAGACUGGAAUAUAGGAUAUAUCAGAUAAUUGCUAUUCAUCUCCUUGUCAAAUAAGUACAUAUUACUAAUUAUUGUCACUGUGAUUUAUUUGAUUAGAAAAAACACUUUUCAUAGAAAGAAUAUGAAAUCUGGGCUCUGUAGGAACAUUUAUAUUUCCUUCUGUGUACAACUUAUUCCUGUAUGUAGCAUAGGCAUGGCAUCAACACUUCAUAUCUACAAGUCAAUAAUAAUAAAUAAAAUGUUCAAUAUUUUGUCAUUUUUAAUGAAAAGUCAACUGGAUAGGAACUGUGUAAAAGACAAUCUUGUAAUAUCAAGGAGAAAGUGUCAAAUCAGUAAGAUUCCUAAGUUUAACUUAAAAAUGUAUUGAUUUCUAUAUUUAUUUAUAAAUGCUUUCAAAUACCAUUUAAUGUUGCUUUUCUUAGUCAUUAUCAAGCCCUAGUGUCCAUAAUUCACUGAUUAUUUUGUGUAUCAAUAUUUUGUGUACUCCAUGUUUUAUUCUAUUCUGGAUAGAUGAUACCUAGUGUUCAUAGUUUUUUUUUUUAUAUUGAGGGUAUUUUAUAGCUCAAUGUAAUAUAUGAUUCAUACAUUAGAUACUUCCUUGUGUGCCCAUUGAAAGUUAUAUUGUUUAAAGUACUGAAGCUCCUGAAUCAUGUUUCAAUAGUUUUUUUUUUUUCUUCCAUGAUUAGGAUUUCAAAGUUAUUAUUGUGGCAUGCCAGUGCAUUAAUUCUGUUAUUUCCUUUGCGCAAUAUUAUAUGGAAGUACAAAAUACUUUUAUAAUUUAUUGUUUUUGGACCAGUUAAUUUAUAAUCAUGGCACCUGAAUUAUUCCUUCGAUGUACUGUUCUCAAUGCUUUCCUGCUGUUCAACAUAGAAUAUAGUUUUUGUUAGUAUGUUCUGAGCUAAUCAUUUUAUUUUAUUGUUUUUGUAACCAACUUUAUUAGAGUUACUUUAUGGUGGUGUUGGUCCAAUAUGAAAAUAUUUCAUCUCAUCUUUAUAGUUUUUCAAGAUAGUGUCUAUUCCUUCCUAACUUGGUUUUAAAUGUUUUUGUUUUUAUUUUAUGAAACAAUAAAAUAAAAUUUCAUCAAAAAUAAUAAAGAAUAACAAAAUAAUAAUUAAAUAACAAUAGUGUAUCAUUCCCUUCAAAGUAGUUACCAGAGUACAAGUCAUCAACAAAAAGUAUUCUGUCUUACAAAGAGAGAAGAUAGCCAUUUUAAAUCCAUAUUUUAAUCCAUGUUUUGAAUAAGAAUAUAGUUCUAUAUAGCACUAAAUACACACAUAUGUAUUUGUAUAUAGUGCUGUAUAUGUGGUUAAUACAAAUUCCAUAGCUUUUCAUUUUCAUUUUGCAGUUCCAUUCAAUUUCUUGCUUUCUAAAAAAUACUUGUAAGAACAGUUGUAGGUUUACUGUAAAAUUGAAAAGCUGCUGUUAAUUUUAUAAACAAUCUUGGAGAAAAGUGUAUGGAGUAAAAAUAUAAUGUAGCUAUUAAGGAAAUUUGUCUAUCAAAACAGUUUUGCAAAUAAAUAUGGACUUCAUCAUAAAUAUUCAUGUUUUAUAUAGUUUGAUGUAGCACAUAAAUAAAAUUAUCCAUAUCAUUUGGGUAUAAAUUACUAAAGGUUCUAUAAGAAAUCACAUUUAGAAAACCAGGCUUGGUGAGGCAUGCCUGUAAUCCCAGGACUUGGAUGACUGAGUCAGGAGAAUUAUCACAAGUUUGAGGCCAACCUGGGCUCUAUAGUGAGUUCAUAACAAAAUAUUGUCUCAAAAAAUUACAUUUAGAUUAUGACAUAAAUAGUGACUCAGAUAUUGCUUGGAGGGUUGGUGAGGCAGGAGUAUUUUAGGUAGAAGGGAGUAUUAUGAGGGACUUUAUGGAAAGGUUAAAGGGCAAAGUGAAUUUAAGGAUUUGCUAGCAUUUAAGAAUGUGUAUGAUUAAGGUAACCAUUGUUGAUUUUCCUAUUGUCUUAUUUUGAAGACCUGUAAUGCUUUCAUUAUUUUGUUUUGAACGAUUUUAUACUUUUUUGUCAUUUUUGAGUUCAUUUGUGUGUGAAGAUAUGGACUGCUAUUUUGAAGAAAACAAGAGGCAUUAUGAUAGCUGCUGCUGAUUUCUUAUUGUCUUGUUUUGAAAUCCUGUGUUGUUUGCAUUGUUUUGUUCUGCUCUGCUUUAUUCUGUUUUGUUUUGUUCCAUUUUCUUUAAAAAAUUAAAAAGAGUGAUACAUUGAAUUUAAUGGGUUGAUGAGAUCAAAGGAUGUCUAGUUCAGUAAGAGAGGGGAUGGGUAGACAAGUUCACAAAAGACACGUGAAGGGUUAUUCUUGUACUUUCUACUUUCUGGAGCCUGCCCACUCUUGUUGGCUUGACUGCCUUACUCUAUGUUCAAGGCUAAGAGUGUGUAGGCUUGAAAAGAAAAAAAAAAGAAUAGAAAGAAGAGAAGAGAGAGGAGGAGAGGUGAGGGGAGGGAGGAGAGGAGCGGAAAAAAUGGCAAGUCUAGGCCUUGAAAUGCAUCUCUCUAUGUCUUUCUCCUGAAGUAACAUCUUCUGACUUUCUGUCUCUUGUAUUUAUUAUACCAUGUGCCCCUCCAUGUGAUAAGGAAUAAUCUCGCUAUUUGAUGGUUAGCUAAUUUGCAACCUUAUUUCAUACACAGCUUUAGUUUCCCUGUACUGUAAUCAAGUAUUCACAGGUCUCUUGGAUUAGGACGUGAGCAGCUUUGGAGUGUGGCCUUGUUCUCCCUACAACAUCCAGUCUAAAAAACUUAGAUUCAUUGUGUACAGUGAAGGAUACAUGCAGCAAGGGUGUCACUAUUGUUUGAAUAUGUUCUCUUCAAAAUUUAAGCUUUCUCAACAUUGUACUCUAAAGAGGUUGUGCUUUGAAGAGUUGAUUAGGCCUUGAAGCUCAUCCCAUAUAAAUCAGUUAAGGUUUCCUUACAAAUGAUCUAACUGAGGAUAUUGUUUCUGUUUUGUUCGCCUUCCAUCACAUGAGAAAGUAGGGAAACCCUAUCCAGAUUAUAAUGAUUUGACUGUGAAUUUUCUACCCUUCAGAAUUGUGCAAAAUAAUUUUCCACUUUUUUUUGUCUUUUUCCUUUUAUCGUUACAGGGGAUCAAACUCACUACUGCCUGCUUGCACAGCAGGCACUUAUGCCACUGAGCUAAAUUCCCAGCCCCAAUUUUCCACUUUUUAAAGCUUCCCAGCCUCUGGUGUUCUUAUUUAGUAGCACAAAAUAAAGUAACACAUAUGGGAUACUAGUUCAUCAUUGCAGUACUCAAGCAGAUACUGUGUGCAAGUAACUGAAUCAGGAGAUCAGGAGAUGAUGCACACUGACAGGAGAAUAGUGAGUUCAGACGUGGAUGUGUUAAUUCUGCAGGGGUUGUGAACUGUGCCUAAAGUAUAAGAGAGUGGAAUGAGGGAGAGAUACUGUUUUGGAAGUUGACAGUAAAGUAAAAAGUAGAUUUCUAAAAAUAUAUAAUGAAUAUUCUUUAAAAUAUGAUAGUUUUUGGGUUUUAAAUAUUGAUUGGUUAGAAGAAAACUUAAGAUAGAUUACUUGGAAUAUCAAUGAUUUUAAGUUUUAAAACUAUUAGUCAAUAAAAAUAAGGAGUGCAGUGUGUUUACCAUUCAAAAUGGCAGACAAAGUCAGAAACUAUCUGGCCUGCUAAUUGUGAAUUUUGUUCCUAAAGAUUUAUAUUCUUCCUGAAAUCAUCCAGAAGAUUUGUGAAUGUCAUUCUCUGUCCUUGUUCGACACUGUAUAGAAUCAGCCAUACAAUGUGACAGUCCUUGGGGAGAAAAAAUACAUAUAUUUUAUAGUUGAAGUAAAUUUUAACAUGAAACAAUUUUUUUUCCAAAAUUCGAAAUUUAGCUGAUAUAAGGCUAUAACAUGAGACACUGUAACAUGUCCUAUAACCAGUGUACAAAAUGCUGAAUUUACGAUUUGACAGUGUGUUCAUUUGAAAAAUGAUCCUUUAAUUAGAAAUAAUUUUUGAUGUUACUUCAGCAUUAUUCAAAUGUGAAAGCUUUAAAAUGAGUAGAUAAAAUUCUCAAAUAAAAUGAGAUCAAGAGCACUUUUAUAAAGCAAACAAGGUCACUCUUUUCCAGUAAUGUAAUACUCGGCGAGAAAUCCUUGAUCUCUAAUUUGCUCUCUCCACUGGACUUACCUGCUGAAAAGAAGGUUCCCUGGGGAGACACAUCAUCAGUGACUAAAUUGACCUUCACAUGUAUGGACUGGUCUUCUCUAUGCCUGAUUAACGGAUAAGUGUUCUGAAGUAUGACAUUCCUCAGUGGAGGGAUAGUAUCUGAACUUGGCGUGACAGCUGGGGAAACAGUUUGGAUUUUGAUGACUUAAAGGCUUCUCAGCAUUAUACAUUUCUUCCCAUAAUUCAUGUCCUAUAUAAUCAGCAAUAAGAAAACUGAUCAAUAUCUUAUGAAAGCCUGCAUCUGCUUCCUUAUGCUUAAUUAUACUUGAGAAACUCAUGGUGAAUAAAAUAUUCUCCAUUUGCCUAAGUGUUAAAAUGUCAUUAUCAUUUCUGUUGAAUUCAUUUUGUAUUACAAGAUGUUGUUAGUAAACAAUUUCACAAUAGUACUUAAUGACUUGCUUUCCCUACAGGAUAAUGAUGAUAAAAAUGUACAUUUUUAUUUCAUUUUUAUGCCAACAAUAAAGAUUCUAUCUGUCAUUUUUUUCUGUAUACUGAACUAGCAUAGUUUUUGGCAUGGGUCACAUUUGUAAAUGUUUCAUUUAUGAACCAUUCCUCCUCCUGAAUCCUUGCAGUUCAGGAUUAUGCCAACAAAGAUAAGCUGUCUUGCGGUUCAUGUGCCUCUCAAUUUGACUUUGUGUUUGCUCCGACAUUUCCUCAAUAGUAUCCAACAGGAAGUUGUUCUACAUAGUUCUGAUGAUGUUAUUUAUCAUGUAAUUGUGCUAAAAGCUGUUUAAUAUAUAAAUGACAACUGAUUAUCUUUGUCUUUACUUUUUUCUUGCGCAUUUAUCUCACUAUAGACUGUUCUGUUCCAUAGGCAAUUUUAUGCACCAAGUUACUCAGUAAAGGUGAAUUUAGCUAUUCAGAGGACAACCCACAUCCUUUAGGAAGUUGGUGAUCAUGAAAUUAUGGUCAAAGUGUUAGAAAAUUACCUUUUUAUUUAAAUUAUUUUUAUAGCAUCACCAGAGAAUGUAUGAUAAUGUAUGAAUAGGUUAUCAGGUUUCAUUUCCUGGUCAUGAACGGUUAAAUCUGACUAUUCAGAGUUUAGGUAGUUGCUUUAGAGAACAGUCUUCACUAAUGGCAGUUCCACCACCCUACCCCCAAUUUUAGGGACCAGUGGAGGCAGGUUAUUGGAAUCAGUGGCAGACAGGGAAUGGGAGAAUCUAAGAAAAUGCCUUGAAUUUAGAUAUUUAUCGAAGAUUCCUUGAGUGGAUAAAUUAACAAGAGAAAAUAAAAGGAAAAGACAACCAAUGCAUUAAUUAUGUCCCAUGACACAAACUUCUUUUUGUUAGGGUACUGAUGGUUGAAUCCAGGAUGCUGUGUAUUCUCUGCCACUGAACUUAACUUCUUUUUAAAAAUUUUGAUAUCAAGUCUUACUAAAUUUCCCUUGCUGGUCUUAUAUUUGUGAUCUAAGGAUCUUCUGCAUCCCAGAUAGCUGGGAAAAUAAGUAUGUGGCACCAUAUUUGGCUGUAUGCAAACUUUUGGUUAUUAGUCUUAUUUUCAUACGUGGUUGUUUUAUCAAAGUAAAGCAGCUAACAAGAUGACAUCCUGUUGAUGAGUAGGGAAGGCCAGACACUAAAACUUGAUUAUUCACUUUAGGCCACAGUGACUUCUUAGUUAUUGGAAUAAGAAUUAUUCUUGAUGAGGGUUAUAAAAAACAAAUUAUUGGAAUCAAGUAUAGAACCCAGAUUCAGAUAGAAGAAAUAAUCUAAACAGUGAAUAGUUUCUUGAGACAUGGUACAGUUGCAGCUUUAGUAAUUACCACUCAGUAUAUUUCUAUGAAAGGUUGCUUACCUAUUGGAAUUUUAGGAAUAGCAUGUAACAGUUCUAAGUUGCUGUAACACAAGAUACCAUUAUCAAUUUAUAUUUUACUUGGUUGAAUAAAUGCAUGAAUAAAUGAAGCAGAGAAAAGGAGAAAUUAGUAAUAAUAAACAUAUCUAUGUAGUAUUUGAGUUAUUUUCCUCAUAUGAUAGGUGUUUAAAUGGGGCAGCCAGUAAGUGGGACAAUAAUUAGAUGCACAGGAUUUGGACUGAGAAAAUACAGCCCGAGGGCACUGCAUGCUAAAGGGGUUGGGAGCAUGUUGGAGCAUAAAAAAGGACUCCAAACAGUAAAGAAGAUGGGUGCCUUUUCACAGAGCAUUCUUUACACAAAAACAAAUGUCUAUUUUGAUUUGAUUUUACUUACAGGCUACUUUGCCUGUUACCUAUAACUCAGAUCAUUUGUAAAUAGCUCGACAAUCUUCAUUACAAACCAAGUGUGAUGUCCAUUGACAUUUCAAGUACCUGUUUUCCUGCUUCCCUCCAAUGCUUUUUCAAUAUUUUGUGAAGAAUUUUUUCCGCAAGAUAUGAGAUUCCUGUCCUUGCUCAUUUCCAUUGACUGCUUUAAAUUCAUUCAUUUAUUCACAUUAUUCAACACACACACACACACACACACACACACACACACACACACACACCUGCUGUUGAGGAGCUCAAACUAUGUGGACAGGAAUAAUUUUAAAUGAGUAAAUGUAGUUUUAGCAGUGCUAACUUCUGAUAAUAUGUAGUCUACUCUGUUUAAGCACUGUCUCUAGACAAAUCCAGUAAUUUUUUUUUCUACUUGGGAGUAUUUGGGAACCUAUUUUACAGGUGGAGAAUUAUGUCCUAUCCUAUCAACUCUGGAAUGGAUUUCUGCUAUUUGUUCACUUCUUAGCACUUAUAUGGAGACUAAAAUAAGUGAUCUAAUUAUUGACACUCGAUAGGGGUGUUGAUGUGAUGGUGGAUGUCUGCCCUUUUAGGAUAGCAUAAUUCUACACAAUCUACAAAAUAGCUUCAGGCUUUCCUUGCCUGCACUUCCAAAUAUAUAUACAUUUGAAUCCAUCUUUUUAUUUCUAUAUUUGAUUAAACUAUGCUAUGGAAUUGACACAAUAUCCUUCUAGUGGAAAUUAGAUAAAAUGACCACCAGUACUGUUUGAAGGUAGACAUAGUGUCUUACAAGCUUUUUUUGUCCACCAUUGGCUACUACAGAGCCUUCAAUUUAGUCAUAUCAAAAUAUAUUAGAUACAUGCAAGUAACAUUUCUUGUCCUCCAUGUACCCACUAAGGGCAGUUGGAAUUUAUUGCCAAUAAGUACAUGUAAGAGUAACCAAGAAAAAAGUAACUCAGGGGUAGAAAUUUCCUUCCAUAUUCAAGGGGAAAAACAGACAUUUAUUCAUUGAAUUCUUUCCUAAAUUCUAGUAUAUUCUUUCCUACUUUUUUUUCCUUUUUCAUUUUUAUUGGUACCGGGGACCGAACUCAUGACUGCCUGCUUGCAAGGCAAGUGCUUAUGCCGUUGAGCUAAAUCCCCAGCCCCUAUUCUUUCCUUCUAAUAUAAAGCCACUGUGUUUCUUUUUCGAGGUUUCCAUAGCUUUUAUGUUUCUUUCAUUAUAUGGAAAUUGUUUUGAAUGAGGAUGCCCAUUAUAUGUAAGACCUUUAAUUAUGUAGUUAUAAUAUUUUAAUCAGAGAUGUGAAAACUAUGAUUUAAUAGUAUUUUAGGCUUUACGCUUCAUGGUACUAUUUUUAAAAGGGAAAGUGUUCAAAGCCCAUGAAGGACAUAGAGAGAGGGAGAUGUAAGAGAGGAUAGAACUAGAAAUAGAAAGGAAAGGGGCAUCUUUGAUGCUGUGGAAGCAAUGGGGAGCAGGUUCAAUGAUCUGGGCUGAAUAAAGCACCUCUGCAUGAGAUAUGAAGAUCUCAUGACAUUUAUUAAAUAUAAGAGUGAUGAAUUUAAGAGUAAAGCAAAUAAUCUUUUCUACUUAUGUAAACUGUAUAACUGAAACAAUGCAAAUAAUUCAGUUCUUAGCAAAACCUAACUAACCUAAUUAUAGUCAGAGUGCUGAAGCUAUCAAAGAGGAAGAAUAAUACAUUGCUUUUAAUUGAGUAGGCCAGACUCUCCCUUGUUUUGUUAUUUUCUAGCCAAUAACUCAGUAGUUUUAUGGAAAGUCACAACUUCUCAGGUGACUCACUGUUAAGUCUUAGAAACCCAGAUGUGAACAGGUAGCUGCAUUACCCUCAGUAAGUCAGAUCGACACCUGGGUUAUCCUUUGAUUUCUGGCAAUGACAGGUUAUAGGAAGGACUAUAAAGGGCAAUCAGGUAAAAGUUUCGUGCAAGAUAACCACACAGAGGUGCUUGGAUAGAAAUAUAAAGGUGCAGUGAGAGUGAAUAUUACCAGAUACAUUUUUUAAAUAAACAUUCACUGUUCAUCGUUUUGAUAAGGUUUUUCAAUUCUUGUUCUGUAGAUUUGUCUUCUAGGUACUGGUCUUUGUAAUUUGUCCUAAAUGUAAGUUCAAUUAGAUUAUUCUGCAGCUUGGUUGUUUGGCUUUUGUUGUUGUUGUUGUUACUAGCAAAAACAAUUCUGACCUUUUAAGUUUAUUUUUCAUCAACAUUAAAAUGGAAUGGUUUAUUUUGUUGAAAAGACAGAAACAUAUACUAUCAAGAAGAUACUAUUUUCUAGGGAGUUAUAGAGAGCUGGAGGGUAUGAGAUUAGAAUUUCUAGACUUGAUUUUUUUCUAAUUGAAGAAAGUUCUUUAGCCUAUGUUCUAGUAACUUGUCUUCCAAAAUAAUAUUUUCAGACUCUCAAAUUUAAAGUUUAGUUCCCAUUCUUUAUCAUUCUCAUCAUAAGUAUUAAAAACAAGGAAGCAACAGAAUUAGGAAUAGGUACAAGACAAAAUGCUAUCAGUGCAGUCAAUAAAUAAAUCUUGAUCUUAUAUCAGAUAAAUCUGUUUUCAUUAUUUUUAAGGAGGUGUGAUCCUUUUUGGAAGAUGCUAUUCUAAAAAAGUGCACAGAGACAUACUAGGGUUAAAUAAUACAUGGUUAAAACAAUCUGCACUUUUAUGCAACUAAACAUUGAUUCUAAAUCAGUAUGAGGACAGAUACUUAUACACAAUAUACUGAUCUCGAAGUGUUCUUUAUAUUUUGGCCAUUCAAAAAUACACAAUUUUGUCAAAAGCAAAUCAGUGAAUUUGAGGUAUUGAAAGUUUAAAGCACAUUAACUACAUAAACUCAGACUGUUUACAGCUCAAUGUAUAUUAUUAUUAAUGCAUUUGUUAAUAUCUCUAUCAUGUUUUCUUUGAUUUUAUCUUGUCUUGAUACCCAAGUAUGUUCCCUUUAUUUGUUUGUUAGGCUAUGAUAAGUGGUAGGGUGUAUUAUGGUCACUGAAAAGUAGACUUUAAGAAGCCUCUAAACUUACCUGUUAGCCAACUUACUGUUUAAAAACUUAGUGCUUGUUGUUACCCAAUAGAUUAUAAACCCUGCUGGGGUUUAGAGGCUCUAAAUUGAAUUACUCUCUGGAAAAAAUCUGUUCAAGAAAAUUCCCCAAAUAUUAUGUUAUGAUUUCCUGAACUUUUUAAGAAUAUGGGGAAAUUUUAGGACUUGGUUCAUGUACCAGUAAUUUGAUUUUUAAAACAAAAUUAAUCUUAAUACUUUCUUGAUGGGUUAAUUUACUUCCUCAUCUAAGUUUUCAAAAUAUUUCACAAGUGAAAUCUCAUUCUCUUUUGUUCCAUUUGAAUAAAGCCGGUCUGUUGUGUACCAUAAAUCACUGCCCUAUUUUAAAACUAUUAUCCCUUAAGUUUAAUAAAAGGAUAAAGGCUUGAUAAAUUGUUCAAAGACAAAAAUGAUACUGUCCUCUUUAAACUUAGGUAGCCAUUGUUUCAUCUAUAAUACAGUGUUAUCAAAGAUCUCUACUUAAAAGGCUUUUAAAACAGUGAAAUUCUCUUAUCAUCCUUCAAAGAAUAAAGAAAACAAUAAUAAAUUGAAAGAUAUUUUCAGGAAAAGUAUGUUGAAACUUUUUUACAAGGGAAAUUUUUUUACAUAGGAAAAUUUUGUGCAGUUUUCUAAGCACUCUGUGCAUUAUGUAGCCUAUUAGGUAAAAAUAUGUAUUUUCAAAUUUUUGUUUUGAUAUCAACGUUUUAUUUUGGUUAAAUUUCUUAUAUGAAUAAGUAGUUAUAGUUUCAGUUGUACUUUUUAAAAUUAUGUUAAUAUUACUUUUUAAAACAUUGCUGCUAAAUUUAAGAUGAAAAGGAUUGGAUUUUUCAUUGAAGUUAGUAAUGUAACUUGCUUCUCCUGCUGGGCUUUAAGUAAUUUUGCAUCUGGUGGGGACUAGAUAACUUUUGUUUAAAACCAGCAGGAGGAGCUCUCAUCUUGCUGGGUUUCACAUAAUUAGUGUAUCUGGUAAACUUGAGUUUGUGGUGAUUUUUUGUGUAACACAAGUGAUAAAAUUAAAAUACCAUAUACAGUGGUAUUCACAGAUCUUAGGACACUCAGUUUUAGUUUAAUGUCAAAGUACUAUUCACUUGUCUGAUGCAAAUUUGAAAUUUUAUGCUUAGGGAUUUUUAAAGGUCCUUGCUAUUUAAGAAAACAAAGCACUAAGAUGAGUCUUAUUUCUGGUGCUACUAAGGAAAACAUUGACACACACGUACACACACAAAUCCCAAAAACUCUCUUCCUAAGCAUCUGUAUUUUUUCUAAGUACAUACACAUUUUCUUUUUUUGUUUUAAAAUGCAUACAGUUCACAGUUUAUAACUGAAUAAUAAAUAAAAUAACUCAUACAUUAGAAAGAACAGUGUUAUAUAAAAUAAUUGAUUAAAUAGUUUGUAUUAAUUUCUAUGUACAGCUAAUGAAAAGGAAAUUGAUAUCAGUACAUAGUCAAGGAUUCCAAAUACUGUUUCCAGUGGUUCCCUUAUUUUAAUACCAUUUGUUGGUAAUAACUUUGAAUAGUCUAUAUGAAGCUUUGAUGAGAAAUUUAAAUUCAGACUUACAAAGACAAAAUCUUAAAAAGAUAUAGACAUGUUUCUCUUCAUCUAUAGAAGUAAAAAUAAAGACAGUAAAUAAGUUUUUAUAUUUGAUCUUAAAGUAAGAGCAACAUUUUUUUAAAACAACACUUUAAAAAAGUUUGGUGUGUGAAAGUUAAAAGUAGUGAUAUUUCUUGAAAUCCAAACAUAUCACUUUGUGAUGUCAAGGAAAACUAUAUAACACCUCUGAGCCUGAAUUUUCCCAUCUAUAAUUUGAGAAAUGAGGAUAGAGACAGACAGACAGACAGACAGACACAGACUCAGAAGUGGAAAAAUAAAUAGCAUGAUUAAAUAAUGGGUGCAGGUCUUAAAUGAACAUCUUUGCAUAGAAACAUGCAAGUGGCUAAUUGUAAAGAUCCUCAGCAUUAAGUCUCCAGAGAUAUGCAAAUCAAAAACAAUGAAAUAUCAGAUGACCCUGUUAGGACAGCUAUUGUCAAAAAUUUAAGAGUUACCAAGUGUUGGCAGCAAUAUGAAGGAGAAAGAACAAGCCUUUUUAACUUUUUAACACAGUAUUAAUUAGCACAGCUAUUACAUAAAACAGCACUGAGUGGCUCCAAAAUAUAUAGAACCACCAUGUAUGAUCUGGUUAUUACAUUUCAGGAUAUAUACUCAGAAGAAGUUAAAUCAGGAUCUGAGAUAUUUAUACUUCAUGUUCUUUGCAGCGUUAUUCACAAUAAAAAUGAUAGGAAAACAGAUGUCAUCAAAUUAAAUGGAUAAAUAAACUUUGGUAGGCAAACAAUGGAAUCUUAUCCUGCCUUUAAAAGAAUAAAAUUCUGUUCCAUUGACAAUAUGGGUGGACUUGGAGAAUAUUAUGCUAAAUUAAGUAAGCUAGUCAGGAAAGAACACAUACAGCAAGAAUUUAUUUAGAUAAAGUGUCUUGAAUAGACUUAGAAUCUGAGAGCAAAAUCGUGGUUGGCAGGGCCUGAGGGAGGAAGGAGAAAAUGAGGAGAUACUGUUUAUGAUACAAAGUUUCAAAUAUGGGAAGUAAAUAAAUUCAAGAAAUAUGUUUCCCCAGUAGACAUUGAUAUCUCUUUGCUAUUUUCCUACAUUAGCAAUACAGUAUAUGUAAUUUAAAAAUUUAUUGUGGGUAUCACUUAUAUGAAAUGUUUUUCUAAACAACAAAAAGGACCUGAAAACAAACAAAAAAUGAAGAUGAGGAAACAUUUGGAGGAGGUAGAUAUGUUUAUUAUUUUAGAUGUGGCAGUGGUUUAAUGAAUGCACAUGUGUGUCCAAACUCUUCAAAUUUUAUACAUUAUGUACAGUGUCUUGUAUAUCAACCAUACCUUAAUAAAGCUCUUUUUAAACUAAAUAAAGUUUUUCAAUGAUUAUAAAUAUGGAAUGAAUGUAUAGACAACAACCACAUUAAAGGAAAUUUAGAUUCUUACUAAAAUAGAGAAAAAUCAUUGUUCUUUAUAAAAACCAGAUAAAGUAGGAUGAUAAAAUAAGGGUGUUUUUCAAUUUAAGUAUUCAUUUUAAGUGUAUUUUAAGUGAUACAGAAAAAUAUAACAGUUGUUCCUAUCCAGUUGCUAGCGUAUAAUAUUUUAAUACAUUAUUCAAUCUUUAAGUCAGAUUAACAAAUUUGUCUCAUUAAAAUUUUUAUUCUAUAAUGAAAGCAUUGAAAACCUUUCUUGUAGCCUUUUAAAAUGUACAGAACAUUGUUGACAUUUAGUAGUUCAUCUGCAGUAGUGCAUCAAGACUUCUUUCUCGUGUCUGAGUAUAAUUUAGUUCCUGUUUUUAAUCCGCCUUUUCUCAUUUCUUCUCCGCAUACUUCUGUGGCCUCUGGUAGCCACUGUUUUACUCUCAACUUCUCUAGAUUGGGUUUUGAGAUUCUGUAUAUGAGUGAGUUUAUGAGACACUCAUGCUUCUCUACCUGGCAUUUUUCAUUCUACCCUGUUACCACACGGGACUUCAUUAUUUCCUGGGGCUGAGCAGUAUUUGUGUAUGCAUAUUGCAUCAUUUUAUCCAGUUUAUCAAAUGCUUCCAUUUCUUGACGAUUGUGAAUAGUGUUAAAAUGAGCACAGGCAAGCAUAUGUAUCUUUGAUAUACAGGUUUCAUAACGAUUUGUUUGAAAUGGAAACAAUGAUGGAGCAUUUUGGGGAUUAAAGAAGAAUGUACAUAGACAUUCAUUGUACAAUGAUUGAGAAUCAGUAUUGUCACUUUUACUGCUGGUUAGGGAACUGGGGAAGUAUUUCAUGCACUGGGGAAGUAAAAAUGCACUCAUAAUUAAAGUUCCAUUUUAGAGUAACAAAGUACAUACUGAUAUUACAGACUUCUGCAUUAUUUAAAAUACUUUAUCCCACAGCUUAAAAAGAAUUUCUAUUCAAUAACAAAAUAGAGCUUUUUUUCAUAGUUGUUAUAAUGAUGUACUCAGGUUUUUCUCUAAUUUGUGGAAUUAUUUAUGUUGCACUGAAUGAACCCAGAUUGUGUAUGUGUGUGUGUGUGUGUGUGUGUGUGUGUGUGUGUGUGUAUGUUGCUUAUAUCCUACCUUUCCUGAACUUUAUUUUUGUUACAUCUAAUGUAUUUAAUUUUAUGUUCAGAUGGAGUAAAUUGAACUAUAAAGAUAAACUUUUUAAAAACUAUAGCCUUUGAUUUCUCCUUUUAUUUCUUUCUGUGAUUUUAACAGCCUUGGAAAACCAUUAGCAAGAUAUAUUAAUUCAUUAGGAGUAGCAAAUGGUGUACUACAUUCAUUCAUUCUUCUUCAUUUAUUAACUAGAGUAUUUCUAUAAGAGAAAUGUCCUUCAUUAACUAUUUUGUUAAGCAGAAAUAGUUUGUACAGAGAAAGCAAAAUGCAUGUUUUGUUCUUCUCAUUUUCUUUACCAGUUUUAAAAGUAAUGUUUUUCUAACAUUCUGCAAAAGAUACCAUGAGAUAUCUACUAACAUUUGCAUGUGUGAAUUUAAGUAUAUUUUAAAGUUUAAGAUUUCAGUCACUACCUUCAUCUAAGAUCAACUUAUUUGUUAGUGUAGCCCUUUGAAAAUUCAUUCCCAUCUGCUUUUGUUUUGUCCCUAGCAGACAUUGAUACCUCUUUGCUAUUUUGCUGAUAUUAGGCCUAUAAAAGACCACCAGAGAAUUUGGCUAACUAAAUAUAAAAAUAACAGUAGGUUGAACAGGAAUUUGAUCCAGCUUCUUACCUACUAAUUUAAAGGAAAUAAAGUAAAUGAUAAAGAAUGUUUAAUGGUAUCUCAUGUAAUACAAAACGUUCUAGUUUUUUCUCUUUCAUAGAAAAUAAACUUUUUAAAUGUUAAAAGUGAUGAUUUAUUGUUUUUCUUUAAGGAAAAUUAAUUUUAAAAUAAUGAGAUACUGUGUGGCAUGUCUGUUAGAAGGAGUUUAAAAUACUAGACAAUCAGCCUGAUAUGUGGAGAAACUGCUGUUGGGAAAAUAACAUUUCAUACCAUUUGGGAAUUCAUUUUGAAAGAUAGUUCUAGAAAUAAGUAUUUUGCAUAUAAUCCAGGAAUCAUACUCCUAAUUAUUUCCCCUGGAGUAAUAAGAGCCUUAAGUUCAUAUAAAAACCUACAAGGGAAAGUUUACUAUGACUUUAUAUGCAAGUGGUACUUGAAAAAAAAAUAUGUGAGUGUUUAAAUUUAAAGAAAUUACAGUGAAAGACCCAUCACCAUUGAUGUCCCUUAAAAUACCCUCUCCCCCAUUUUUUAAAAAUUUUAUUUAAAGGAGAAAAAAUAAACAGAACAGUAUAAGGGUAAAAGUAAUACAGAAUCAAAAAACAAUAAAAAAUCACUAGUUAAUAGAUAACAUAUUGCCAUCUUAGAAAUAGUUGUUCAAGUUACAGGAUUAAACCAUACAAGGUGGACAUUCAAACAGUGAGACUGUAAACAGUUGUGUUCAGUGAUCCAACAAAAACUUAGUAAUAUGGUCAUCUAUCUUAACACCCCUAAACGCACUUGCAGUUGUAUCCUUUAGAGCACUUUUUUACCUCUCUUUUUUACAACAUUUACACAUUUUUCCUCUCCCCCAUUUUGAACAGACGUAUUCUAUCAUUCUUGCCAUUUUCUGAAAUAGUCCAGCAAGUCCUCUUUCAUGAGUGUCUUUGGAGGAGUGACUGACCGUAGAGUAAAUGCUGCUGCCAGGUGCCAUCUGUGGGAGUCAGAUUCAUGAAAACACUACCUUGUGUUCAUAACCACUUUAUUCAUCAGACCUGGUCCAGUGCAAAAUCUGACUUACCAUCAAAGACAAAAUGGCCAUGGAAGAUAACCAUUUUAAAUUGACUCAGGACAUCCGGCCAACCAUGAUAGCACAACUGUGAUACUCACAAAAGAGGACUUUUGAAACUGGUAAGAAUGAAGAGGAAAUAUUUUUGAGGGUGAAUAAAGGCAGCACAUCAUUUACUGUAAAGUUAUUUUAAAUUUAAACACAUAUAUUAAGUGACUCACAUGUUUAUCAACUAGCAAAUCCCGUACACUAAAAUAAUUUCAGCAAUAAAAUGUAAUUAUUACGGGCUGGGGAUUUAGCUCAGCGGCAUAAGCACCUGCCUUGCAAGCAGGCAGUCGUGAGUUCAAUCCCCAAUACCGAUAAAAAGGAAAAAGACCAAAAAAAGUAAUUAUUAGUGCUUCUGAAGCAGUAAAAAUGGUUCUCAGAUGCAUUAUACCUGAAAGAAACCAAAUUCAAAAGAAUACAUGGUAAAUUGUUUCUGCAUUUGAUAUUUAGGAAAAGUCAGCUCGAGGGCAGAAUUUAGAUUAGUCAUUGUCUGAUGAUGGGAAGGAAAAUGGAUCACUGUAGAGGGCCACAAGGAACAUUUAAGGGAGAUUGAGAGUAUUUUAUAGCUUGAUCAUAGCCAUAGCUUACAAAGAUGUGGAGAUUUUGUCACAGUACAUAGAAAUAUACCUUUAACAUACUGAACACACUUCAGUCUACCUGAAAAAUAUAAUAAGAAAUUUUUAAAAGCAAUCUCAUUGUAAUGUAGAGCAGUAUUUUGAUUUUGGUUUCUGGGGAAUUAAUAAAACAUUAAAAGUAUUUGAUGACAUUAAGUAAUUGCUAUCUGUGUUAAUGUACUAAAAGUAAUUCUAGCAUAAAUCUUUAUUUUAGAAAUACACACAUGGUGACAGUUUCACAGAGUAAAUGAUUUGACUACUGAAAUUUGCUUCAAAAAGUCUUGCACUGGGAGAGUAGCUAUGGAUGAAAUAAAUAGAACAUAAAUUGGUGUUUAAUAAAAUGAUAAUGAGUUGUGAUUUUAAAAACUAUUUUCUCCUAAAACAUUUGAGAAUUUUCUACAUAAAAUUUAAUUGAAAAAAUAUAGUUGAGUUUUACCAGUUUGAAUAUUCAGUAAUGAGUAUACAGCGUUUACCACAGAAAUUUAAUACUAGGUGCAUCUUUUAUAACAUGUCCCUGAAAUACAUUACAGUGGCUCAAUUAAGUAGAACUACAAAAUUCUUGUAGACAAAAAAACAGGUGGUAAAUAAUGAACUAACAAUGGCAUUUUUCAAAACUGCACUUAAAGAAUCCUUCCUCAUUGCAAGGUGAACCGAACCCAAUAAUGAGCUACAUAAGCAUUGUCUCCUCAGGGUGUAGCCCGUUGCCUGCCCUACCUUGUGCCUGUGAUCCAGCGCUGGAAAAAGUAUAGAGCUGCUAAAUUUUGAUAGUUACAUAUUUUUCUACUGUAAACAUAGCAAAAAUACUCCUGGCUCAUCUCUGUCUUUCUAGAUUUGUUUCUGUCCUCCUACUUUGCCAGUAUAAUCCCCACUCCUAUUUCAGACUCCAGAGGAAUUUUUAAAAAUCGUCUAUCUGUCUGUCUGUCAUCACAUCUGAUUGAAGACCAUCUUGUUCUCGCCUAGCUCAGGUUUAAUCUUCUUUGUGAAUUCUUCCAGAUUUGCAUUUCAACCUUGGCUUAAUCGCCAGUGUAUUUUAUAAUUGUCCAUUUUAUCAUUUAAUAUAGUUUAUUCUUGUUAUUUGUUUAGUUGAUAUUUUUGGACCAGAUGAUGGUUACUCUAGGUUAGUGAAAGAAAGGGGUAUAGCUUUAAUUUUGCUUUUCCAUCUUUUAGCAAACAGUAUAUUACCUAUUAUUUGCAGUAAUGGCAUCUGCUCUUGAGCAUAGUGUUCUUUUCAUAAGUGUUUUCAUACUUCCUGUUUAUUAAUGCACAUUUAAUAAUAUUAGAAAGAAACCUUUUAAGUGUUUUUUUUUAUUAAUGUUGACGGAAAAGACUAUUAAAAUAGGAAAAUAAGCAAAGUUGAAUAUUUCCUCAGUUUAAAGUUAAUAUUAGUUUUAAGAAUCUGUUAGUAAAAAUGAUUCUUUAAAUUGUAUCAUUUAGCUAUUUUACUCAGCAUUGUUAAACCUAAAUGCAUUUGAAAUUAUCACCAUGCAUUUUAUCAUGACGCAAUGCUGUCAUUAUGUACACAUAUUUCAUACAUAUGGAAAAAAUUUUAAAUACUAUAACUUGUGAAUGUGAUGAAUAAGAUAUUAAUGAUUAUUGAUGAUUUAAAUAAUAAGUAUUAUAAUACAUUAAUUAUUCAAAUAAUUUAAUGUAUUUUUUAGUUGAGAAAUUCAUGCAAGCUUUAUCUGUUCACUUUCAGUUGUGUUGCUUGAUACAACUACUGUGCUGGGUAAACUAGGAUGGAAGACAUAUCCAUUAAAUGGGGUGAUUUUAAGUACGUGAAAAUUCUCAUCCUCAUUAGGUUUUAGGACUUGGGAUAAAUGAAAUAACAGAUUUUUGGUACUCUUUUAUAUCCUUUUUGGUAUAAAGUUUAAAAUCAUGUGAAAAAGAUUAAACUAUAAAUGACAAGUUGAUGGGACUUACAUGUAAACAUUCUGUUUUCUUCUAUAUUAUAGUAACUGUUGUGUUUUACACAUAGUAAUGUUAGAAUUCUGCUUAUACAAAUUUUCCUCAGAAAUAAAUUUUGAUAUGUAAUAUCAGGACACUUUUCUUUAUAAAUGUUACACACAGUAAUUAUGAAUUUGGAAAAAUAAAACUAAGUUUUAUAAGCAGAUUGUAAAAAUAUUAACAAUUUGGAUUUUAAUACACUAGGACUCUACUAAAAUAGUAUUUUAAUUUGGCAGAAAGAUACUUUAUGGUUAGGUUUUUGUUAACUGGAAAUAGUUGCUUUUCAAAGCUUACAAAAAUGUAUAAUUUUUGUAAUACUGUUUUCCAGAAAGUAACAUUUAACUAUGAUAGUACUUGAAUUUUUAUGUUUUAUCUUUUCUGCAGCUUUUAAUAAUACUUUUUUAUAUCAACCUAAAAUGAAAGAGCUCUUUUGAAGAUUUUUAGGUUUUUUUUUUCUAUUUAAAAAUAUUCAGUGAUAAAAACAGAUGUUUUCUGCUACAUCUCUUUUAACCUUUUCUCUUGGAAAUUGUAUUUUCAUAUCAUAUUCUUUGUUUAUAUUAUUUACCUUGUUUCUUGUAGUAUAUCUCCAAAUUUAAAUCUGGAAAUUAGAUAUGAUUUUAACUUUUUAAUCAUUUUACUAAACUGUUGUUUGAAUUUAAUAUUUUAAUCAAAAGUUAUUCAUUAAAUGUGCAUUUUUAAAAAUCCUAUGAAGAGUUGAAUCUUCCUCUCUUUAACACUUAAUUGCUUUAGAUUUAUUUUAUAUUCUAUGAUUUUAUUAUUUUUUAUUUUCUUUUUUCUAGUAGAUAGUUCAUUAAACUAUCUCUGAAAAAUAACCUUUUAAUGUAAGAUGUGAUUUUUUCCUUUUUUAUGAAAAUUAGUAACCACCAAUAUGUAGUGUUUGUCAUUAUGAAGUUAAUGAAUCUUUUAUGUUGUAUACUCUUUCAAUAUCUAUAUAACUUGAAAAAAAUAUGUAUUUAUAUAUAUUCUCAGUAAACAAAACAAUUUCUAGGUUCUUAUCCAAUAAGUAGAUAGUUCAGAGCUCCUAUUUUUUGUUUACUAAAAAUAGAUAAAAUUUUACCACUGGCUUCAUAGUAUCAUAGAUAAAAAUCAUUUGUGGGGGAAAAAGCUUUUGAUCUUCUCUGCUAAUUAUGUGCAUGUUGAUUAAGCUUUAUUUCAUAGAAAACUGGUAGCCAGGAGAGGCAUACACUUACAGCCACAGGUGAGAUUGCUGCUGUCAGUCUGGUUUUGAUUUUUUUCCUAAACUACUUUUAAUGUGUUAUGGAGAGAUAGGGCAGAAUUGUUUGAGGAAGUGUCGCUUUUGCUACAGUUUUCUGUUUGAAAGACACAGUCCCUAUCAUUUCACAUUUUAUCUUUAGCAAUGGUCCUUUGAAGUAUGCCUUACUUCUGUUUCUCCAGUGGAGAAUCCCAGUUAUUAAAAAAAAAUAACGUAAAAUACCAACAGAUAUUUCGUGUUUUAUACUAACAAUAGCUAAGUAGUGAAUAAUAAAUUCUCGUGCUAAGAUAAUUCUGACUCAUGUGGGUGUACUUUUCACUUUUGUGUUAUAUUUGACUAAUUUAGAUUUUUCCCAUUGAUAAUUUUAAUGGUAGUGUAAAAUACACAGUUUGGGCACUGCAUGUUAAUAUUACCAGAAGGAAAAGGAGGACUAAAGGAAAGAGAAGACUGUAUUAGAAAAUAAAUGACAAAAUAAAGGAAAAUGUGAUCAAAAUUUAUUAAUUAUCACAUACUAGACUUUGCUUCAAACAUUUUACUCACAUUAGUCCUAUAUAUCAAGUGUAACUUAUCCUAAUUUAUAGAUGCAAAAUAUAAACUCAGAUUUGUUAAAUAAUUUUUGCAAGGUCACAGAGCUAGGAAAUAGUACAACAAAAACCCUUAGAGAGACAUGCCCUAAUCUCGAACACUUAUGGAUGGUUAUUUCACAGCAAGUUAUUUUUUACUUUUUCUAAGAUUCUGCUCUGUAAGAAUAAAGACUGAUGACCUGUGAAAUCAAAUUAUGGAGGGGAAACUAACACAUGAAUUCAAACAUUAAAAAGUAGAUUAAAUACAUAAUUAAACUGAAGUAUUGCAGAUAACAUGAGCUAUAUUACUUUUAGAUUAUACCCAAGAAACAUAUAUGGGAAAUUGUUAACAGUAGGAAUAUUUGAAAACUGGCAAACAUGGACUAAUUUUAUAACACAUGUAGAUGAGGCAGUAUAACCUAAUCCUAACCUUAAAUAAAAGGUAAUAGAGAGAAAUAGUAUUUAAGUUAUUAUUUGUAAUGAAGAGAAUUAACUAUUUAAUGGAGUUUUCCUUCAUGCUCCCUACAGACUAAAACAAGCAAGGAAAUAAUCACUAAGAAAGAACUUCAAAAGAAACUACUAAAAUGCAAAAGUUAAAAUAAUCUAGAUAUAAAAGAUUAAAUAACUUAAAAGUCCAUUGGUUAUAGUCCAAUAGUUUAUAGUAUUUAAACUAUUAUUGAGACACACUUUAAAUUUUUUUCAUUAAAUGUAUUUGAAGUAGCAUAUAGUUUUAAAAUUCCCGUUUAUUGACCCAUGCUAAUUUAAGUGGCCAUUUUUAACUAUUUUAGACACAACUUCAGUUGAUUUAUGAAUAUCUUGUGAGUGACAAAACUAUACAAUCAUAGUAGAGAAUUUGUAGUGUAAAUUUUAUCUGAUGUUUCUGUGAAAAUGUGUUUUCUAGGAGUAUUUUAGUUGGAAAUAUUGUCUUAAUGUAAAGACUAAAACUAUUUGUACAGACCUAUAGAGCACUACGUAAAACAUAGGAAAUUAAUCCAUAUUUCCAUAGGUCAGUCUGUGUUCUUCUACCUUUCUCUCUCCUCUCCAUUUAAAGUAGCCAUUUGGACAGUGGUUUCCUGCCAUUGGAGUUAUUUGGGUAGAUAUUCAGAGCAUGCCUGUGAACAAAAUCAACCCUGGCCAUUUUAUUAGGAGUUGAGCCACUCUUUUUAGUAAAUUUGGAAAAUAAUCCUUAGCAAAUAGCGUAACUUUAGGUUUCAAAAGUGAAAACAGAAUAUAAUAAUUUUCUGAAACAUUUUCUUGUGUCAUCAAUUACUAAAUAAUUCAUUUUAAAAAGUAUUUCCUAGAACUUAAUUUAGCAAAGUUGUAUAUUAUGUUUCUUUGUGCCAUGUGCCCUGUUAGUAGACUUAUAAGAGAUAUUCUAGCCUAAAACAUUCUUGGUUUAUAGCAGUCAGACUAUAUAACAGAAAGUGUCCUCGUGUAGUUUUUUGUAAUUUUUUGUGAAACAGUAUUAAGAGGAAGAGUUAAUCAUGGUGAUAGAAAAUUGAGAGUGAGGAGAAAAGUAGUCACCUCCUUUUUAUAAACUCUGCAACACAUCUGUAAAAGAGCCACCUUUUCAGGGAAACAGAAUGGCUGUCUCAAAGGUAUGAAAAUAUGAAAUGUGCACUCUUAAUGUGCACUAUUUGUGACUCCUGUACAUCAGUUCUUACAGAAUUCUUAAUGAACAGAAAGCUUUAGUAAUGCUGAGAGUCAUUUGUCUGGCCAGAAUGCGAGGAUCUGGUAAAAAAUUAGGCUGUGAUCAUGGGCAAAAUUAUGCAGUGAAAGAAUUUUAGUAUAUUAGUUGAUCUAAAUACUACAUUUCUCAGAUCCAACAAGUAAGAGUAAAAAAAAAAAAAAAAAAAAAAAAAACCUUACUGGAUAUUGCAAAAAUUACUGAAGUACUGUAUCCUUUUGUUGAAUACAGUAAUUUAAGCUCUCAGAAAUGAAUGACCCUCUUGGAAAUUGAAAAGGUGCUCAAAAUACAGAUCACAUGACAUUGCUGAUAUUGGGAAUGAAGUAAAACAGACUAAUUUCUGAAGAUUAUGGUUGGAGCUUAGUUUUAUAAGUGAUAAAUACAUCAGGGAAUUGAGGAACUACUGUUCCUUAAAUUUUCACACUGUAUUCUCUUUUGCUUUUUGUUUUUGUUUUCUGCCACCUUUUUUUCUCUUAAAUAAAAAAAAAAAGAAUUCUGUGUUGAAUAUUUCAAAAAUACUUACAAACUCCAGCAAAGUAAUAUGAUAACCAACAAAAGAAUGUGCAUAAAUAAUUUUUUUCUUUAUAACACAAUAGGUGUUCUAAAUUAAUACUGAAGCAUUUUUACAUCCAUUAAAUAUAGGUGAAUGCUUUGUCUUUGUGUUUACUAUGAAGAACUAAUCCUACAUCUUACUCUAGUAAAUCCCAAAUCUUACUCUUGUAAACACUAAAUCUUACUCUGGUAAAUUGUAAAUCUUACUCUGAAAAAAUUGAAGAACUAGCUUUAGUUCUUUAAGACUUCUAAAAAUGAGAUGAUUUUAAUGCUAAUUAAACCAAAACACAGAGAUACACAGAUCCAGUGUAUGCAGUAACAUUGUAUGGAAUAAGAAAUUGAAGAAUAUAUAUCCUUAAAUUAUUCUUCUGUUCUUAAAAUAAAUAAUAUAAAUGUUUUAAACAUUAGCUCUUGUGUCUAUUCUUUUCUUUUUGAAUUUUUUACUUAUUUGAUUUAGUUUUAGCCAUUGUAGAACAUUAUAAAGGAUAAAUUAUAGUAAUAGCAAUAGGAUCUGUAGUUAAGAAUAAUAUUCAAAAUCCUUAAUGACCAUUGCAGAUUACCCCCCACUUUAUGUCACACAACAGUGAGUAUCUCAUAUUGGAGUACUGUGGCUAUUAACUCGAACUGGUAGUAAGCAGUUGCUCUGAACCAGAGAAAUAAAAGGCUUUUUACAGUAUAGAAAGGAAUUUUAUAACUAAAACUCUAUUUUCUUUUCUUUGAGCUUCAGUAAUUACGUUUGAUAACAUUUAAAAUUUAAUAGCUAUGUGGUUUUAUUUAAAAUUUUGGUACUGUAAUUAAAAAGAUAAGCAGCUUUUUAAAAAUAGCCAUAUAUUGGUUAUUAGGGAUAAUUAAAUUGAAUAAAAUCUGAUAAUUACUAUAUUUCAUUUCAUAAUAAUUUUUGGAUACUGUUUAAUUUAUACCUAAAAUUACAUAUAAAACUAUGCUUAGUAUUGAAAGAACUUGAUUCUAAGCACUCCAUCAACUCAUCUGAAAUAGUAAUGUCAUCAUUUAUUUUUACAUACAAUAACAUUUUAGUGAAAAAUAUUUUUCAUCUCUGUUGUUUUUCACUUUUGAUUACCAGAAAGCAAGUUUUAAAAGUUGUGUUUAAUGUAUACAUGGUGAGACAUAUUUUUUACAUUAUUAAACUGAUUUAAUUUUCAACAGAACAAUAUGAAUGAAAUUAUCAAAAAGUAUGGGAAAAAUACAGUGUCACAUAGACCAGUUGUGGCAAACCUAUCUGUUGCAGCCAGCUAUUUGUUAUCAUUGAAAGCUCUAAAAGACUCAACAUCACUGUUAUAGAUCAUUCCAAAUUUUUCUGCUAGCGUGCCUCUGGCACAUGCUUAUAACAGCCUCUGAGUACUUGGAUGGAUGAGAACAGUGAACUGAAUCCUAGAGAAACAAUUCCUUAGGUACCUUUUUGAGCUGGGCCCAGAGUCUCAAAUGGAAAGUUUAUACUUUGACACCUUUAGUCCUGCAACAGGUUGGGUGUUGGCGACUCAUGAUAUCUCCUCAAGGCAUCUUUCUUGUUGUCCAGUUUCAUAAUCUCUUCAAGAAACACAUAUCCUUUUCCCUCAGCUUACACACACUUCUUUUCUGGCCAGGAUGUGAGUUAUUGAAACUUUUCUGCUCUGGAUUAUGUUCCCGAUGUUCACUGUACAUCUGGCUAAAAGAAACCAGCAGCCUGAAUGUUCAGCUGCUUUGAAAUUUCCCCAAACAGAUCAAUUGGUUCACCAUGUUUAAACAUAGUCUUCCUCAGUCUCCUGACAAGCACAAUAUGUAGAUGAGUUUUUUGUCAGAAUGUAACUUGCUUGGUCUCCAUUCCCCAAUAGAAUCUGCACUCCUUUAGAAAAUCUGAAGGGCAGCCUUUACUCUCUGCAGUCCUAUUAGCAUUCUUCCGGUCUGCAGAAUUAAUCAGAGUUGUUUAUAAGUGUUUGAGGAUUUCUUUAGCUUCUAUCUCCAAAGCAUUCCAAAUAUUUUCUGCAAACUACUACCAAAGAGUUGUGAACCACAUUGUCAGAUAUAAUCAUACCAGUGGCCAAGCAUUCUAGUAGCAAUUUUCUAUAUUGGUCCUAGUUACUUUUUGUUGCUGAGAUACAAUAUAUGAGACUCAUAAAUUAAAGGAGAGGUCAAUUUUAGCUCAGUCUGUGGAGGUUUCAGUUCAAAGACAGGUGGCUCCAAGGCAGGGCAGCAUGUCUAAGAGACAUGGCAGAGAAAAAAAGCUCAUUACUUAGUAGCAGGACACAGAGAUACAUCAAAGAGGAGAGUAGAAUAGGCCCAGUAAGGCCAUACCCUCAGUGACCUCCCUUAUCCAACCAGAGUUCACCUCCCAAGUCAAAUUUAGCAGACUAAUCCACUGAUGAAUCUCACGCACUCAUGUUCCGAUCCCUUUUCAAAGUCCCACCUAUGAGCUCAUGAGACUUUGAUGGGACAUCUGCAUACAAUCAUGACAGUCAGGUAUAAUCACAACAAUGACCCCACUGUCUGUUAGCAAAUCUCUAUAUGGGUCAUCUUUUUCUUUGCUAGAUACAGUUCUCAUCAUCCACAACUUAAAGGAGGGGAAAUUUAUUUGUGUUGUUGAAAAGUAUUGAGUUUUAAUUGAUCUUUGAAGACAAAAUGAUAUCUCAAAACUAAAUAAUUAUGUACAUUUGCAUGGUUAGUGGCAUAGUAGUAUUUAGUGUGUUUAGAUUAUUUCAGUGGUUUUUCAUUUUAGAAAAGAGCUAUCAUUUUCCUUUAAGAACUCGAUGUAUUUCUGUAGUGUGUAUCAUUUCAAUUUCUUUGUAAUGCAUAUAUAAUUAUGACUUUAUUAUGUAUCUUUAAUUGAUUAUUAGCUAGUGAAAUAUAAACUACAGAGAAAUAUAGUCCAAAAAUACCCUAUAGAAAUAAGUACAAUAGAAAUACUAAAGUGCUUCUCACUCUAAAAGCCAUUGUCAUUACAAAUUAUUGAACAAAAACUUUGCAGAGGGGCUGGGGAUUUAGCUCAGUGGCAUAAGUGCCUGCCUUGCAAGCAGGCAAUCGUGAGUUCAAUCCCUGGUACCGAUAAAAAGGUAAAAGACAAAAACAAAAAAAGGUGAAGCUGCUCAGACCUCUACUAAGCCCUGCUCUUUACCUACCAUUUAACUUGUUGCUCUGUCUUCUGACAUUGUACAACCUUCUGACACCUCCAGAUUCCAGCUUUUCAAAGCUAGUAGUGUCUUCCCAUGACUUCCUGUUAUCUAUAGGCCUAGGGUCAUGACUUUGAGUCUGGAAGGACCUCUUUUUAUCUCUGGUUAUUUCAGCUUUCUUGUAUAUUAUGCUUUCUCUUCUUGGUCAUUCAAGGCACAAAAGACUCUCUCAACUUUUUUGGAAAAUUUAUGGAAGGUUUAAGUAGGAAGUACCUUUUUAGGACACUGGAAAUUCAAUGCCUAUCGUAGGCUAUAUUUUGUACCAUAUAAAUAUCUAUCACUGAAUUAUGAAUUAUUGAAAUAAUAGAUUAAAUAUUUCAUAUUUAUAUAAAUUGCCAGCAUAAUGACUACCUAUGGCAAAUACUCAAUGAGACUUUAUCAGAUAGCUAAAUAAAUAUGCAAUCAAGCUGUGUGUGGUGGUGCACACCUGUAAUUCCAACAUUUUGGAUAUUGAGGCAGAAAGAUUGCCAUGAGUUUGAGACUAGUUUUGGACACAAAGUGAAUUCAUGGCCUCCCUAAACUAAAUAGCAAGAUUGUGGCUCAAAACAAACAAACAAAAAACACAAUGAACAUCAUUUUAGGAAAAAAUGAUCUAAUACUAGCUUUAGGGAAAAUCAACUAUAACGGAAAAAUAGAUAAUUAUGAAAACUGAAGUAUUACUUAUUUUUCAUGGGUACAGGUAAAAAAGUUUAUACAUUGAUUUAACUUCUCUAUUUUAUACGGUCUAUUUCUCAUCAUCAAUUUCCUUGAUAAAAUGAAAGUUUAAAGGUGGAUAGGGAGGUUGUUACCUACCAAAUAAAAAGACUAUAAAAAUCGUAUAAGCUAGUUAAGCAACACUGAUCAAGACAUAAUACACUUUCAAAGAAUUCAUGACCAGUUUAGAACAGCUGAUGAUCUGAAUCUGUCUGGGAAAUAUUAACCCCAGAAGGUUAUUAAUCCUGUACCUUGUUAUUAAGAUGAUAAUUAAAAAGUAGAACAUAUGGAUCUUUAACGGUUGAUAGACAGACUGUAAAUUUUAGAGAAUUUAUAUUAUCCUUUUUAAAAAAGCAUAGGUCGACAUUAAAUGUUAAAUAGGUUUUUAAAAUCUGUACUGCAUGCAAUUAGUAUUUUGAAGUAAUGUACCAUAGUAAGCAAAAUAGGUUGUUAAAAUGGUUUGACUUUGUUUAUUUCAGCAAAGUGAAACCUGUUGGCUAAUAAAAGUAAUGCUUAACUUCGUCUCCAUCUCCCCCGUAAUUAGGAAGCAAUAUCUAUAAAAAUACUAAAGUGAAAUUAAAGAAGUCCUUCAACCAAGUGUAUGAAACUAGGAUAUGUUAUACUAAUAAACACAUACACAUUUCUUUUGACUAUUCAUGCACUUUGAGUACUGUGGUUCAGAGAGUUAAAUUUAAUAUAUAUUGUUCAUUUAGAUAGCUUAUUUAAUAAUGCUUCUAAAUUAUUCAAAUUGUAUGAUUAUAUUAAGUAUAAUAGUGUUGAGUAUAAAUUGCAAAGGAUAUCUUUAUAAUUUUCAGUAUAAAAUGUCUCUAGGAAAUUUACACAUUACAAAUCUGUAGUAAAUAAAUGUGUACACUCAACAUAUUGGAGUUACAUUUUGAUUCCUUCUGUUGGCAUAUGCUAUACUAUUUGGGUCACCAUAAACCAUGAUUUAUCUGAAAGAGUUCUAGUUCAUUUAUCUUGACAUAAAAUGAUUAUUAAUUUGCCAUAUUCAAGACUUAAAGUAUAGUAUCAUUGUGAGGUGGGAUGCAAGUAUACUGUACUGUGCUUUGGCCCAAACCUGACACAUCAUUUCUUAUAAUGCAUUGGCCAGAAUGAGCCGUAUGUCUGUUCACAACAAUGUAAGUCCUGUGGAAAGGAAAACCCAUAAAUGAUGGACAUCUUAUUGUGUCACUGACUAAAUAAAAUCUCUGAACCCACUUUUAAUUUUAUCACUUGAGGUGUUUUCGGUUGUUGGUUUCUCCCCAUCCAAAAUGUCCUGUUGUAAAGUUGUGAAUCUCCCAAUAUAUCCCUGGUUUCUCCCAGUAACUCUCAUGAUUAUUAAUUUCUCUUCUCUUUGGAGGUAAAGCAAGAUAAUUUGUUAAUGUUGUGUUUUAACUAUAUUGUAAUUUUUACUUUUAGUAUAUAUUUAAGUUGUUAAUCAUUACCCAGUGUAGUCUUUAGCCUGGCCCUGAUUUUAUUCCAAUUAACAUGUUUCUGAUUGGAGAUUUUUGCUACUAUCGCCCAUCACCUUUUUGUUUCAUUUCACUCUUUCUGUCUCUUUACUUGUAUGUAUUUAUGCAUUUUGGUUUAUUUUUUGUGGUCCUGAGAUUAAACUGAGGAUCUUUGCCUUGAGUUAUAUCCUCAGAACUUUAAAAUUAUACAUACGUAUCUGUAUAUUUCUCUUUUGAGACAAAGUUCUGUUAAGUCAGUAAGUUACACUAAAUGGGCUCAACCUUGUGUGGUAUUCUUUCCUCUGUCAUCUUGCAUAUUUUUAAAUUUUAUAUAGAAAAAUUUCCAUCAUUUUUAUCAUUUAUCUUAAAUAUUCAUAUUGAUCUAUUGAGAUAUAUUUUGUAAUUAUUUUCAUCCAAAUAUACUUUAUCUUUCAAUUGUUGAUUUUACUGAUUUGCCUCCACUAGGUUAGACUCAUUUAGGUUGACUCAGAUUCUUACUGCCAGCUUACAUCUGCAGAUUACUCUGUACAUAUAUUUGUUUUAGAUUCUUGUCAUCUGUUGAUGAGAACAAAGAAAAUUUGAAUUUUAAGCAGAAAACCUGUUAUUGGUAUGGAAUGCAUUUUAGGUUUUGGGCCUAAAGGCAAAAUUCUACCCUCAGGCUUUAAGACCAAAGAUUCAGUGAUCUUGCACUAGCAAGUCUAAUUGCUUUGAUUUUAUAUUCUUCCAGAAAGUUCUUUAUUUGUUUUUAUCUUGGCCACACAAUUUUGAGUAAUUUCCAAUUUUUUCCCAUUUUUCUUCAUUAAGAAAGAGAAGAGUCAUCAAAGCAAGGGGUUACAAUAUCACUUUGAAAGGAAAUUGUUUAUUUUUGUAGACUUUUAGUUUUAGAGUCAAAUAGUACUUGACAUCUGUAUAAAUUUUUAGAGCAGUCUCUUUGCAAGACAGUGUUCAAUAUUAUAUUUUCAAAGACUGGGAAGAAUAUUUCAAUCUUUGUCUACUAAAUGAUAUCACAAAAAUAAAAUAGCUCUUUUCGCAGAUAUUACUAAAGCAUUUCACAAAAGAAGAAAUUAUUAUGAAAAUGUGCUUCAUUUUUAUUGUAACCAAGAAAUUGCAUAAAUUUUUAGAAGUAUAUUUUAAUGUUCCCUCUUAAAGCCUCCACAAAUGUUAAUACUUGUUAACAGAGUUUUGUACAAAUAUCAGUGGACCCUCAGCUCCAGUAGUGUACUUUAGUAUGUGUUUUAUAUGAAGUUUCUGAUACACAGACAUAUCAUUUGUCAGGGUUCUUGAUACUGAGUAGUAAACAUGCUAUGUGGGUACUAGAAUACCAGUUAUUUCUUAUAUAAUCUGUAUAGUUAUGAUCUUGUUUUAAAACAUAUCUUGUUAGGUACUAGCACAAUUUGCUUCAGCUCUUCACAUUUAUCUUAAGGAAACAGAGAUGUUACUCAAGCAUUAAUCCUGUGUUCUGUGUGUGUAGGAUGCAGUGUCCUCAAAAGUUACCCUCUGCAACCUGUUCCUUAUAAAGAGCAGUAUGUGUAUCUUUUGUCCCUGAACAAGUUUUGACAAAUACAAAAGCAAAGCCUAAUGCAGCUACAUAUAGGAAACAGCAACAUACAGAGGGGAAUUAAUAACUGAAAUUGAAGGAUAGCUCACUGACUUCAUUUUGUAAAACUCUUCUAAAAUAUAUUAAAAAAUUAAUAAUUACUUCUGAGGAUGAUGAUUGACCUUGUGAAUGAUGUAAACAAAAUAAUAUCAGGAAAUCUCAGCAUGAGAAUACAUAAAUUUGAUAAUUUCUAUCUUUGCACAUGGAAAAACAUUCUAAGAGAGUGAAAUGGUCCUCACUGUAAAUUAGCUAAUGCUAUUAGUUAGGACCAAACAAUUAUAAAGGAAUAACCUUUUAUCUUUCAAAGCAUAAACUGUAAGUUUUUAAACCUUAGGAUUUCAAAAUCUAAAAGAAGUAUACAGUGGUUUUAAAUUGUUUUACUUGAUUUAGAUUUUAAGGCAUCAAUGAUGCUAUAGUUAAUUAUUUUGAACUAAAUAUUGCUAAAGGAAAACAUUUAUUGAGAAUGAUGUUGUACAGUGAAAUUUUUACAUUGCCAAAGAAGGAAAACAUCUUUUAAAAAUAAUGCUGAAGAGUGGAAAAUAAACCUUUAAAUAGGGUACUACCAGGAAGUGAUGCACAGGCUUUACAUGUUGUAUUACAACCUUUCAGAUACUAGAAUAAAAUACCUGAGGCAUUUGCUGAUUAAGAGAAAAUUCAGCUUACAGUUUCAGAGGUUCCAAUUCAGGAUAAGGUGGGCCCAUUGUUUUGUGCCUUUAGUGAGGAGGAUGCCAGUGAUGGGGAGGCAUAUGGGUUGCAUAUUGUUUACAUCAUGAGCCAGGAAUACCGACAACAGUGAGAUCGCAACUCCAGUCUUAUUUGAAGGCAUACUCUCAGUGAUCUAAGGACCUCUGAUUAAGCUUAAUCUCCUAAAGAUCUUUAGCACCUCCUAAUAGUGCUGCUCAGGGAUCCAGCCUUUAGCACACUCAUCUAAGUCACAGAAUAGAGAACAGUUUUUGUUUUUUUAAAAUAUGCAUAAUUUAUAUUGCUCUGUAAAUAUUUAAAUAGUGACCUCUACCUUUAUAAUUAUUCUUAAUGGUUUUAUUGUGAUAUAAAUUUUGUUAAGGGAAGCCAUGGUAAAGACAGUGAGCAUUGAUAGAAAAAUUUUGUUUUAGUGUACACAUAGAAAUGAUAUUCUUACAACCUCCCAAAUGCUUUUGUGCUGUGUUAGUUUAUUUUCUAGUACUGUAACAAAAUACUUGAGAUAAAUAACUUACAAGGAAUAAAAGUUUAAUUGGGAUCAUGGUUUCAGAGGUUUUAGUCCAUGGUCAAUGCGCCUGCCACUCUGGGCCUUGAGUUGAAGUGGUUUAUGAUGGAAUUUGUGGCAGAGGAACCUGCUUUCUUUGCUGGAAAGCAAACAAAAGAAGCAGGAAGGGGCUAGGGUCUCAGUAUCCCCUUCAAGAUCAUAUCAACAACGACAUAGUUCCUCCCACUGGGUCACACCCCUAAAAGACAUUUUCUCAUACCACCACAGGCUGAAGACCAAGCCUUUAGUACGUCAACCUUGGCAGAACAUUCAUGAUCUAAACUAAGCAUCUCCCUUUGUACUCUUACUCCAACUACCAUGUAGUAUAUUUCAUUGUGAAGUCAGAGUCAUAAUUCAGUAUUUCUAAGAAUUCUAGUAUUCCUAGUGUUUUCCAUUCAUAAACUACUUAAAUAAUAAGUAUGACCAGUGAAUCUUUAUCCAUGUGGGAAAUUUAAUUUGCAGAUAAUUCCAAUAACUUCUUGAGUAGUUCGAAGUAUAAGUGAAAUUUGUUAUAUAUCUAGGACAAUCAUGACAAAUUAACUCAGAUGCAUUGUCUUAUUUAAAAAUUUUAUUUAAGGAGAAAAAAACAGAAAAAGGGUACAAAUUAUACAGAAUUUCAGAAAAAAUAAACAGGAAAUCACUAGUUAGUAGAUUACAUAUUGUCAUCUUAGAAAUAGUUGUUCAAGUUACAAAAUUAAAGCAUAUAGAGUGGACAUUCAAACAGUGAGACUGCAAACAGUUCUGUUCAAUGAUCCAAUAAAACUCGGUAAUACGGUUACCUAUCUUAUACACUUAAAUAUACAUGCAGUUAUGUCCUUUAGAGCACUUUAUUUUCCUCUCUUUUGUACAAUUACAAUUACACAUUUUGGGUUUUAUUACUCCUACUGUUCUUAUUACUUUUUUUUUUUUUUUGAAGAGAGUAAAACCAAAUAUGACAUAAUAGGACAGAGUCAGUCAAAUCAAAAGGAUGGACGUAAUACAUACUGUAAAAACAAAAUACAAGAUGAUCAACAAUGGUUAAUAUAAUGCCUCUUGCUAUCUUAAAAAGAAUUGCUAUAUCAUCAGUUAUAAUAAAAUUGAACAAAACAGUAAAGAACAAAACCAAUAAAACCAAAAUAUUGGAGAUAUUAGGACUUCAAAAGAAGAUAAUAGUCAACCAGAAUGGGGCUCAUAAUGAUCUUACUGUCUUCAUAGUUGUUGCCUAUACUUUCGAACUUGGUACUAUCAAGCAAAACAAAAUAGAGGAAAAUCAGUCAAAACAAGAUGGUGAGAGCAAUACAGGGUUUCAAAUCAAGUGAAUAGGAAAUCAAAGUGGGUUACUAUAAUAUGUCCUGUUAUUUUUUUUUAUUUUUCCCUUCAUUAAAAGGAUAAAAAUGAAAAAGUAGAUAAUAAAAAGGAGAUUGAGAUAAAAGAGAACAUAACAACAAAUCAGCACAGGUCAAAACAUAACCAUUUAAGCAAAAUAGUGUUUCACCACAAGAUAAUCCCGACAUAAAAGUAGUUACCAUAGUGUCUUUUUCCUUGAAAUCUUUGGGUAUAACUUUGUGUAUUGUAGCAUCAAACAUAUCAAGACAAUGUAAAACCAUUCAAGAGAAUGACAGUAUUACAGGGUAUUCAGAAUCAACUAACAGAAAAUGAACAAUGGUUUCUGUAUAAUCUCCUUGUCUAUAAAAGUUUUUGUUUAUAUCAUCACAUAUAAUAAAAUCCAAUAAGAUACAACACGUUAAAACUGAUGGAGACAGAAGAACAAAAGCUUGAUGGGACUUUAAAACAAGAGGAUAUUAAAUCAGCACAACCUAUGAUGAUGUCUUGUUUUCUCCAAAAUGGCUGUUCCUACCAUCCAACCUUCUCUGCCUCAUUUCUGUUGAGCUCUUUUUCUGUCAUUAGUUGUCAGUUUGUCUUCUUCAUUUUACUUUCUGCUCCAUUCAUGGUGGCCUCUCUGCCACUGUUUCUGGAAUCUUGGUAUUUUUCAUUUUUAGAAUAUCCUGCAGUAUUGAAUUUAUUGUUUUAUAACUCUGGAGCCAAAAAUCUGAAAUUAAGAUGUCAAGGUCAGAGUUCCUCCUAAGGCUCAAGGAAAGAAUCCUUCAUUGGCCUUUAUGACUUGGUUUAUCACCAUUUAUUCCCAUACCUUAGCUUAUAAAGCUGUAGUGCUCUAUUUUCUCUGGAUGCCAAAACCAAACCAAACCAAACCAGAUACCGUUUUUAAUUCCUUAGGAUUACUGUGUUUCCCACUGUGAGGCUUUGGUUUGUCCCAUAUUGUAAGUCAUGGGAAACUAAAAGAAAUUAUUAUUAUCCAAAUAGUUUCCUUCUGUGAAUGAAGAGAGUAUUGUUACUAAUUGUCUUAGGACAGUGGUGAUGAACCUAUAGCAUGUGUGUUGAAGUGGGCUGUUUGUAACACUGAAACCUCCAAAAAUUUCACCUUCACUGCCCUAGGAUAAUAAGCAUAAAUAAAUCAUUUAGUUCUCCUAGGUAUUUAUUAAUGUACUGAUAGUUUUAUUGGUAAUUAAAAUAAUGGCCACUCUUACAUGUCUUAGUAAAGGAAAAAGUUAUGGUUCGAUAAAGCUUCUCUCAAUUAGUUUUUAAUAUUUCACUAUAAUAUUAAAACAAGAACUCGGUUUAUAAUAACUCAGUUAUAAGAAAGUUUCUAAUGUAGAUGGAUGAUUGCACCAGCUGAAACAUUUGUUUUGUAAAAUUGCUCAGAGGGGAGAAGCUCCAUAUGUAAUUUAUAGUGCAAAGAAAAUGCUACUGUUUAUUUAAUUUACAAAUUACCACAAUGAAUUGAACACUAUUCUUGCAUAUACAUCAUUUUUAUUCCAAUUGGUUGAAUUACUGCAAAAGGAAUUAAAUAUUACUAAAACUCAUCAGAAUAUCAUUGAAGGCAAGCUAAAGAUAAACUGAUUUAAACAAAAGUUAAGGUGAUAACACUUUGGAGCAAAUGAUCAGUUUUCAUUUUGCAACUGUUUCAAAUAACUGAAUAUUCAGUUAUACAAGAUGUUUUUAUGAGUGUCAAUUAUAAUAAAUGAUGUGUUGAAAUAAGAAUAUUUGAGGAAUAUGCUUUAGAGACCUCAGUUAUAAGAAAAAGAAUCAAAGUGGGGCUAAAAGAAGGAAGACACUGAAUAUAAUGAAUACAGAAGUAUAGGAAAUUAGAAAUAAAUAAAAGACGACAUUUGAGAAACAAAAAAUAUGUCUUUGCCAACAAAUGUAGAAAGAGAGGAUUGAUUUUGGAGUUUCCUCAUUGUGAGUAGAAUGAAUGUUACUGGCUUAGUAGCUUUAUAUAAAGUGGUUUUGCCGCAAGAAUAAGCUCUGGCAUAUGGCAGUGCAAAUAAGUGUCCUAUUUAUCUCUGUCAUAUUCCUUCAAAGACUGAUUUCAAAGAAUUGUUUUUAGGAGAUAGAAGACAACUGAUUAAUGACAUCCUUAUAGUCUUCUAGCUAGUCCUCUAGCUAGUCAUCUAUUAUGCAAAACCUGUAAUGUUGAUGGAAACAAGUAGAAUAUCCAUGAAUUGUCUCAUUUUGACUCUUUUAACCCAAAUAAUACAUUAACCAUUAUAACAGGCUACAGGUCAGAAAUUAGAUAGGAAAUCUAAUUUCUUUGAUUAGUGAUCUGUCUACCUACACAUUUGAGUAAGAAUGGAAAAGAACAAAUAUCACUUCUGUUACAAAAUAUGGGAUACUUGAUAGCCAAAGGGAGCCUACUAGGAGAGGAUAAAAUACAUGGGGAAAAAGACUUUAUGUGAGACUAUAGAGCUUUUUUGUCAAUUGUGGUAUUCCCAAUAGCCAGGAGAAGCUCUGCUAUAGGCACCAUAAUUUAAUCCAAGUGGAGUAAUGUGACUAAUAGCCCAAACAUUUGAGUGUGUGGAUGAGAAAGCAGCACACACACUGACUGUCAAAAGGAAGAUAGGUGGAUUUCUAUGUGUGGACUUAGAGGAUUGUCAUGAUGUACAUACACUUUCAUGCAAAAUCCCAUUUCAAGGCUCUCUAUUGUGUAACCAUAUUUUUAUGAUAAUAAUACUGUAAAUAUCAUGCUAUCAUAGAAAAUUAGAUGAGUAUCUUCCAGUUUGUUAUACUGUGAUAUCUAAAUUCAGGAUUAGAUUGAAAUGACUCUGCAAAGUGACUUUUUUAACUUUGUAUUUUUGAAAAAGUGAUAAAGUAAUAGAUGAUAUUCAUAUUGAAUUCUAUAUUUUGUGAUGAGCAAACAAAUGCUUGAACCACUGAUUAAGACAGGAUUAUUCAAUUUAAGAGGAUAUAAUAAAACAAAAUUACAUGAUUUAUAACUUGGACAACAACCCUUUGUGUUCAUCUGGGUAAGCAUGGUAUCUUAGUUCUUAGAGCAAAGAGGAAUAAGGGUCAAACUGUGGUGGUGGAGGUGUCAUGGUUACAAAUUUUCUGCUGCCAAGCAGAAUAAGGGAGAUUUUGGCUUCAUUUUCUGUAUAAGAUUUUUACAAGUAUAAUUGUAGUUUUUAAGAGUUUUAAAUCCACCCCUAAUCACUUUCUAGUGAGUCAUACAAACUGGUAUAAUCAACUACCUGGAUAUAACUGACCUUAUGAAUUAUGUGCUACCUAUGCUAUAUGUAAGAUUCAGCUUCCCAAAAAUGUAUGUUUAUGUAUUAUACUUAACAAAUAAAUAUUGGAGUCACAAAAUACUGGUUUCCUAUAGAGGGUAUAGAUUGUUAGGCCAGUGUCUCAGAAUGUACCUCCAUUUUAAUCUAAUUGUGUAUUACACACAACUAAGGAAGAUGAUGAAAGGUAGGCAAGACACAGACAGGAUGCAACUGUGGGCUAUCUCAGCAUCCUCUAACAUUUUGUGUGAUUCCUGCAUUAUGAAGAGUGGGCACACUUGCUAUUAGAUUGAGCAGGUAUUUGGCAGACAGUUACUUUAAAAACAAAAUCAGUAUUAGCUAAGUAGGACAGCUGUGACCUUCCUAGUUAGUUCAGACGCAGAGAAUUUAAAAGAGGAAAAUUCACCCAGUGUUAGAAACUAGAAGAGUAAAAAGGGAAAUAAAUAUGCAUGAAGAUCAGUAACUGCAGAAUAUUACCAUCAUUCCUAAGUUUGUUGGGCAGAAGGAGAAAGUGAUUCCUCUGUGCUCCAGGACAGUGCUCAGUGGCUACUUCGGCUGCCCCUCUUCUUUUCAGCAAGCUUCACAGAUGCACUAAUGUAAGCUUGUCAGCAGAGUCUGGCUGCAUCUCCUGGACUAACCUAGACCAUUGCUGGAGUCCACACCUCAGGUGCUCCUGCUGCAUCGCCUGGAGUCAGAGCCAGUGAGCACUGUGUUAUAGAGACUUGAACUAACCCUACAUCUGCGGGUGAUUCAAAGGCAGACAAGGCCAAGUGUUGUCUGCUCUCUUGUUUUCAGUGUCUUGUUAAAAGAGUCUUACAGGGAACCAAGCAACAUCAGACUCUGGGAAAUUCUACCUACAUGCAUGUAUUUAGUAUUUUCAUACAGUCAACAAGCACUGUCCACAGGUGCCAGGUGUAUUUUAAACCUCUGUAUUUUGAACAAAGCAGACAAGCUUCUACUUGUUUUGCUUACAUUUUAGUACAGAGAGAAAAUCAAUUUGUAAAUUAAUUAUGUAAAUAAUGAUUUAUAUAAAAAUAUAUAAAUAAAAAUGAUGUAAAGUAACUAUAAGAACUAAGAAAUCGAUCAGUAGGGUAAUGAAGAAAGAGUAAUCAAUUGAAGCUGGAGACCUCACUAAUAAAAAAUAGUUGAGCAAACUGCCAAGGAAAAGGAUGGUGAUCCAUUUGGCUGUCCACGGAAGAGGGUCCUCAGAGAGGCAGCACUUAGCAAGGGCAGCGCCUGGUGAGCUCAGGUGAAUGACAAGUACCAGGGAAAUCAAGGCGCCCCCAUAGGAGUGGAGGGGAGCAUGGGCAGAAAUGUAGAGUUUAACACAGUCCUCUUUUUUCUCCUAUGGGAAGUAUUUUAAGGGUGUUUUUGCUCACAGAUUAUUGUGUAUAUGUUUUUUUCUGCUACAAUCAUGCUUUAAAUAUGUAAUUUUAAUUUUUAGGGAAAGGAGAUGGGGAAGUUGUAGUAUCCAAAGAGUGCUGUGAUUUAAUGAAAUAACUGAAUUUUUAGAAAACAGGUUCAUUAGGAAUUACUUUUUCAAGCCAGGUAUGAUGGUGCAUUCCUAUAGUUUCACCUUCUGGGAGACUGAGGUAGAAAGACUGCAAAUUUGAGCUCAUCCCAGGCAAUUUAGUAAUUUAGUAAGAUUUUUUGUCUGAGUAAAAAAUAUGAAAAGGCCUAUUGUAUGUAUUUCAAUUUGAAGGCUCUGUAUUCAGUUCUCUGGUGCUGCCUCCCCCUCAAAAAAGAAAAGAAAACAAAACAAAACAUAAUAUUUUUCAAAAUUAUCAUCACUUCUUACUUUAAUAACCUUUUCAUAACUUUUUAUUAUUAGAGUUUAGGGAAAAAAUCUUCAUAAGCAAUGUUUUGAAGUUGAAUAUUCCAUUAGAUUAAAACAGAUUUUCUUAAAUUAUAAGUAAUGUUAGAUUAAAAUUAUUUCUAAUUAUACAUUAUGAUAAGCCUUGGGUACUUAAAUUUAAGUCAUUCUUUUAAAAGGUGCCUAAAUGGGGACACUCUGACUGUAGCACACAAAAUGUCUUAAAUAUAAUCUACAAAAAAUGAUAAACUGCCCUGGAAUCAUUCAUACUAAUAUUCAUAGUUUACAUCUUUUAUGUGACUGUCAACUGCCUUUGUAGUUGCCAGUCAGUAUAUUUUCAAAAUAUAUUCAUAUUGUACUCAAAUCACAACAUAUCUAUGUAGAAAGCUGAGUUUUUUUUUUUUUUGUAAAAUGUAGAAGCAGAACAAAUGUUUCUCUGACCCAUAUGACUUAGGAAAACAAAUCUACACUAAUCUGUUUUCAGAAUAUUGACUAACUUAAAUAUAGCAAGUAUGGCUUAUGAGUAAACAUAAAAAUAGGCAUAGCUAAGGUAAACCGUAAGAUGUAAGGUGAUGAUCUGUAUGAAAUGUCUAGCAGAUAGAAAAUUAGCCAUUAAAGAAGUGAAAAUUAUGUUUUACCUGUCAAACUAAAAUUGGAAACAGACAAAGUGGACAAAGGGCAUUAAAACUAGUGUCAAGUUCAUGCCAAUAGCAUGACCUGAACUAUUUCAGGUCAUUUUAUAGAUAUUCUGUGUAUUAGAAAGUUAAUCCUACAAACUGUAAAAAUAAUGAAAGUUUUGUAUUCUUUUCUGAUAUUAUCAUUUAUGAGAAUCUUGCCAAGCAAAUGUUAAAAAGCAUAUACAACACAUUUUUAAAUAUGUAAUUGCCUAUUUAUUGAUAAUUUGUAAGGGGUAAAAUGGCUUUGAAAUUAACUACAACCUACAUUUAAGCUGCAGUUUCAUUAAAUUAUAGAUGUUUUCUGUUGUCUCAGAUCUUUGCAAAACUCUGGAUUCUUAAUAUUUUUUCUUAUCUGUAAAUCAAAGUCUACUUUUACAGGGAUACUUAAUUUUAAAAUUAAUUGAAAUACUUUAAGAAUUGGACAUGUUCUUCCUUUUUUGUAUUUUUGUUGUAAUUUAAAUGAUCAGAACUAUAAGUUUGAACAUGAAGCUACUCCAUGUCACAUGGCUUAUUCAUGCAACAUCCUGAAUUAUUCUACUUAAUUUAAGAUUAUCUAUGAGAUAUCUUUCUGCAAUGAAGAUUUAUAAAAAUCAAAUAAAAGUUAUAAAUGUUGUACAAACUAAACUAUUAGUAAUAGUAAUUUGAUAGCAUUGAUUUCUAUAAUAAUUAAUAUACCUAAACUGAAAUGUUGCAUACAUUUUGUUACUUUAACAAAACUUUUAAAUUUUUAGGAAAACCUUUUAAGUAAAGAAUACUAUUCAGUAUUCUCAUGUUAGUUUUGAGCUAUUUUAGGAAUUCCCAAGAGUGAUGAAUCCCUUGAGAAAAGAAAUUAAUAUUAUUUUAUCAUAUAUGAAUUUUUUAAAGGUAAACUUGUAAGUUGUAGAAAUAAUACAUUUUAUCAUAGAUUAUUGUACAUUUCAUAUUCUGGUAAUUUAGGCUUUAUUCAGUAGAGAAACUUUUUAAGUACAUUUCUAAACAACUCAAAAUCAUGAAAACACUUGUUUCUUAAAAACUACUUUAUAUUUUAUUUAAUCUGAGUAUAAUAAGUCCAAUGAAUACAGAUCAUACUGAGUAUGAAAACCUCAAUGAAUUACUCAAAACUUUCUUUUCAUUUUUUAAAAAACAUCUUGUAUUAUCUAGGUGCACUUAUCAGAGAUUAUUAAGGAUACUGGCAAGAGUAAAGUGAGUUAUAACUUUUAGCCCCAUCUAUCUCCUGUCUUUUUUUUUUCCUGCAGUUCUUAUAGUCUCAGAUUUCCAUGAUGACCUGAGAUCAAUACUCUAUGCAAAGUGGGCAGUGUCUUUGGUCAAUUUCAGUUAUUUCUGGCUUCUGUUUUCUUUGGUUCUCAGUUUCUGUCCUCUUGGAACCCUGUUCUUCCUGUUCCAACACCUACUCACAAAGCAUCAAGAAUUUUGCGUUUCACUUUUCUAUGCAAUGAGCAUUGGGGGCACAUUGCCAAGGGACCUCACUAUGUCACAGCUCAUCCAGUUCAGACACUUGGCAUGCUGUGUGCCCUUGUGUGUGCUAUGCUGUAUUUAAAGUAUCUCUGUGCCUUUGUACCUUAGUCCACAAUUUCCAGACAUAACAUUUUUGUCUUAAUUUACUUGUUGUUCAUUGGUGUCAGUGAGACUACCUGGCAGGCAAGAGUUCCUUAGUAGGUAACCUGGGAAAGCUAGGAAGAGGUAAAGAUUCUUUAAUAUCAUCUGUGUAGAAACAUGUGAGUAGAGUGUGUAAAAGUAUGAAGAAUACGGUUCAUUAGAAGUAAAAGGGAAACCAGAACACAGAAAAAAGAACCUAAAAUUCUAUAAAGAUAAGGUAAUUGGUUCUACAUUUGCAAAAUACUAAUUUCCAAGUAAGUAAAUUCUGAAAAUGAGAAGAGAUUGUAUAUUAAAUGGGUACAUAUAGACACCUAAAUUCACAUUUAAAAAUGACUUCCUACUACUUGUCCUGCAUUUUUGAUUAAGCAUUAUGGAAGUUCACAAAGAAAGAUCUGCUGAAAUUGAAAGAACAAAAUAUUAUAAAUAAUAGGCAUGCCUUUGAUUUAUGUUAUAUCAUUAACAUUCAGUGUUCUGCUAAAAUUUUAAUUGAAUCCAAGGCUAUAGUUUCCUUGAAUGCAAAUAUUUUAAGAUUCGCCCAUUCAGCAUUUUACCUUACUUCCUUAUUAGUAUUUCUUAUGCAAUGAUUAUAGUCAAAGUGCUGUUCAAACCCAGGCUUGGUGGCUUAAUUUAUAAUGCCAGUACUCAGAAGGCUGAGGCAGGAGGAUUGUUGCAAGUUUGAGACCAGCCUGGGCUACAAAGUGAACUCAAGUCCAGCCUGAAGUGCAUAGCAAGACCUUGUCUCAUAAACAAGCAACAACAACAGAAUGGCAGUUCAAGUGUUACUUACUAUAUGGUUUACUGGAAAACAUUUGUUUUCCAUUUCCUUGUAUUCUAAUUAUCUGUUCAUUGUGAUGAUCAGAAACUUACUAGAAUCACUUCUGGUUUCUAAAAGACAUUUAUAUUACUCAUUUAUAUUAAGUAGAGACAAAUGAAAUUUUUGCAUUUCUUUCCUGCUAUUGUCAUAUAUAUACCUUAUUUCUGCACCUUUUGUAUGCAUCUUAUGUUCAUUUUGAUAAUUUUGUCUUUAAUAUUCAGUGGAAGGUUUAAUGUUUGUUUUACUGUCAGUUUUAAAGUAUCCAAUAUUCCCUUCCCAAAUUUAAGUAUUUUAUGUAAUUUAACAUUUUACAAUAUGCUUUUAAAUAACAACCUUGGAAAUCUCUGUGUUUAAAUAAAUUCAUGUUUUCUGAAUUUUUUUCUUCUAUGAGUUUAUAUAAGUUUAAAUAUUUUCCCCACCAAAGGUAAAUUUGUCCUUUUAUAUGUGUAUUUAAUUUCUAUUUUUGUCUCUCAGCAUUGUGGAUGUAAAACUGAACAGUCACAAAUUUUUGUAUAAUGUUUAAGAUACUUCACCAAAGAUUUGCUAUGGUUUUUCACUAAUAACAGAGUAUAACAAAAUUAAAUACUGACUUGCAUACUUCUUUGUCAUGUGUAGGGUUGUGUUACUGGUAAACUGAAUUUUAGGCUUUUGCACUGAACCACAGAUCCAACAUUUACUUAUUUAUCUAUUUAAUUUAAAUUUUCAUAUAGAUUCUCAUUAAACCAGUAACUUGCCUAAGAUUACACAGUUUUAAAUAAAAGUUUGGACUUUAUAUUGUAUUCCUUCAUAUUUUGUGUUCUCAGGUAGCUUAUCUUUAGUUCUAAUCUGGUAUAGUAGGAUAAAACUGUAUUUCUUUUCUCUCUUUGAUUUUAAAACUUUUCAUUUUAUAUUUCAUGGUGCAUUUCAUGUGUUGGCAUUGUUAACUGAGCUGUUCAUUGAAUUGCAGUGGAAUAACAGUACAAGAGUUGGUUAGGUGAGAGGAUUGUUGUAGAAAGGGCAGCAAGUAUUUGGGUUCUCCUUAAUAUUUUUUUUUCAAUAAGGAAAACAGUUUUCUUGCUGUCAUUGUUGUGAAGUGUUGACAAAGAAAGCAAAUGAUAUUUUUUUAAAUUUUAUUUAAAAGGAAAAAGAAAAAAAAAACAAAACAAAGCUGUGUAAGAGUACAAGUAAUACAGAACUACAAAAAAAAAAAAACAACACAGUAAGAAAUCACCAGUUAAUAUAUUACACAUUAUCAUCUUAGAGAUAGUUGCUCAAGUCACAGUAUCAAAGCAUACAAAGUGCACAUUCAAACAGCGAGACCACAAACAAUUGUGUUCAAUGAUCCAACCAAAAACAUUAAUAUGGUCAUCUAUUUAACAUCCCUAAACACAUUUGCAGUUGUAUCCUUUAGAGCACUUUUUCCCCUCUCUUUUUUACAACACAAUUUACACAUUUUGGGUUUUAUUACUCCUUAGUUAUUACAUUUUUUUUUUUUUAGAAAAGUCAAAGUCAAAUAUGGCAAAACAAAGCUUAUUUGGAGACAUUACAAGAUGAAAGGAUGAUUCUAAUCUGGUAUUAAGGGGAUGACUUUGAUGGAAUUAAUCCGCUCUGUACCAGAAGUUCAUGAGUGUUCAGAGCUUUGUAAAGUAAUUGAAGCAGUUGGGAAAGAAAGAGAACAGGAGCUGCAAUUUGUUUUGGCUUACGUUGAUUCAAUUAUUGGAAAACAGUCUUUAGGUGUACCAGUAUAUAUCAAGGAAUAUAAGAAAUAUAGGUCUUGAAAUGCAAAUAUAGUAUUUUUCAUGUUAAUUUAGCUGCUUGAACUGUAUUCUUUUUUAUGUAUGGAUUUUUUAUUUUAAAGGGAAUGUAACAAAAAGAAAAUGAAUUGAGAUAGGAAAUCUACAAUAGUUACUAUAUUGCAUAUUGUUUUCCUCUAAAUAGUUUCUCAGACUAUGAGCUUUAUGUGGACUCACAGGUGGGGGCUUCCUGGUUUCUCCCCAUUUUGCUUUAAUUCUACUCUUAAAUUGGAAAAUAGAAGAGAUUUUUCAAGAAAGAGUUAAUGUAACAUUAACUCAUAGUUUAAAAUUAAAAUUUAAUUUUAAAUUAAUAUUACUGUAGAAAGGUAGUAUUUAGAUAUGCCAGAUAAUUAAAAUAUUAACCCUAUUUCAUAUUAAUUUAAUUUCAAAUUAGUUCAAAGACUCAUAAACUUUGAAAGAGUUUUCAAAACUAAGUGUCGAGGGAAAAUUUUGCCAUAAAGAAAAAUACAAAAUAAGUUUUGUUUCACAAAUAUCUUUGAAUAUUAGUUUGUUUGAUAUUUAUUCCUUUUUUCUGUCUCCUUAUUUGUAUAUGGCAAGGCAAAAUCCGUAUAUGUGGUGUUUGUGCAAUUUGUAUGUGUUAGUAAUAAAAAUAAGUGUACAUAUUUGUGGUUUCAAUAAAUUUAUGUGCAUUUAGCUCUUUUAAAAAGAUAUAGAUAGUUCUUUAAAAAAUAAAAAAAUAAAAAGAUAUGUGGCAACACUGUACUAUCAGUGUAAAUUAGUUUCUAAACUUUCAAACUAAAAAUGCAAUAACUGAAAAGUAUUCUAAGUAUUACAUCUUUCAAACAAACAUUCACUGUGCAUUUCAUGUUGAACUUGGCCAGUAUACGUUUGAUUUAUACAUAAAUAAAGCAAAAAGACAUCCUAAAACUCAGGAAAUGAGUAACGGAACAAGUGUAAUAUGUGAGCAACAGAACAUUUUGACCUUAAAAUGUCAGAUUUCUUAGCACUUAAGCCUGGAUUCUGGCUUUGCUACUUAAUUUAUAUUUAACCUUGAGCAAGGUCCUCUGUAUGUCUACACAUUUAUUUUCUCAAUCAUACAGUACAGGAGUGUUGCAAUCUAAACCUCUAUCUUUCCAUACGUUGCUGAGAGUAGCAUUUUUGUGUCUGUACUGUCCCAUUAAUAGAUAGUGCAUUAACUAAUGAGAAUGUCCAGUCCUUCUCUGAAUAACUCUAAUGUCUGUCAUUUUUUUUGCUUAUAUUGAUCUAAAAAAUCUAUCUUUGUCUACAUUUUGCAGUGUUCAAAAAUGGUUAGGUAUGGCCUUGGUGUAUUCAUAUAAAUUAUUUAUAGGAGUGACAUGGGAUUGGACAGGGUAUUGUAUUAUGGUUACAUUUUUUUAAACAACAGUAACAGCAAAAGCCAAAAUAAUCCACCUAGUUACUCUGUUAACAAAUCUUUGAGUCAGCCUUGAUCCCUUCCUACAAUGGAAAUACAUCUUUCAUAUGACCGCUUGCCAUCAGCAUAACAACUGCCGUCUUUACUCUUAAUGUAGAAAUAGCUCGACAAUUGAGCUGUCUUAUUUUUCUUGCUCUUUACUUCCCCUAAUAGCCACAAUAUUCUUUUAAAAGUAGAUUGUAUCAGGGUUUUGCUCAAGUCUUCCAAUAGCUUCCUUUAACUCUGAGGCAAACUGAUAAGGUCUGGCUUCCCUUGUCAUGCCAACAUCUCUGACUCCCUCUGGUCUGCACUCUACUCCAGAUAUAAUGGCCUUCCUUCUUUCCUUCAGUUUACCUGAAAACUUGCAUUUUGGUCAUAGACGUUCCUUCUUGAAAGUUUUGCGUGGCUUCUUCCCACUUCAGUUAAUUAUUUGCUCAAAUAUCACUUCCCUGGAAAAGGCUUUACCAAAACUGUUUAAAUUUACCUUGCCAGUUUAUCAUUCUCUAUAAUUUUAUUGCUUUAUUUAGGUUUGGUAACACUGAUUGCGUGUUUCUUCCUAAGAGUAUAAGGUUGGUAAAGUGUAUCUUGUUCAUCAGUAUAUGUAGAAUUCCUGGCCCAUACUUAGGAACAUAGUUAUUAUUGCUAACUGAAAAAUUCUUGUUCCUGUCUUACAUAGUAUCCUGUUUUCAUUUUAUUUAUGAAACUACAUGCUUUUGAAUGCCAUAUGAGUUGUUUGACUUUAAUAUAUGUGCUUAAGACAUACCUUGAUGUAUUUGCUUAUGCUAUACUGAUAUUAUAACUUUAAUUAGAAAAAUCAAGCCAGCUAGGAGAAAAUGCUGUUAUAUUUAAAAAUUAGCCUUGUUAAUAUUCAACAUAUAUGGUUGGAAAUAUUUGGCUAUAAUUUUACAGGUAUAAUAUUAAUUCUAAUGAAUAUAUGUAAUUAUCAUAAAAAUUAAAAUAUCAGAUAUAAGUUUAGUAUAUUGAAAAGCUCAUAUUUUGUGAUUAUAGGUCACAAAAUCAGUGCUAUUUCUAUUUAUUCAACUUAAUUUUUCUAUUCAAAGAUACUAAAACCCCAUGUUAAUGUUUUUCAGGUUAAUCUUGCUUUAAUGAAAGAAUAUGAAUUUUUAAAAUAAGGGUGAUUUUAAAUCCUUGAGAAGACUUUAUCAUAAAAAUUAUCAAUAUAUGUUGUAAAAUAUGAACAGUGAACAUCAAUUUUAAGAUAUAAGCUACCUUUGUAUUUAUCCAUGGCAUAAGCAGGGGAUAUCGAUAUGAAUGAUGCUUGUAAAAAUUUGCUUUUUGAAACAAAAAUAUAGAAAUUAACAACACAAAGGUUAACAUUUAUUCAAACAUAAUGCCAAGCGAAUUAUUGCUUAUUUCAUAUUAUUUACAAAUUUUCCUGUUAUGCACAUAUUUAACAUACAUUUAAAAAUAAAACUGAUGAUAGUAUGUUAUUUAAAACAAUCCAUAUGCAGGUAAUGGUUAACUCUAUGUAAUCAUUUGAACAGGCUUACUAUUAAAAAUUGUUCAUUUUAAAAUACUUUAGAGUAUGAUCUGCAUAUUUUAAUAUAUAGAUUUAGAUAUCCUUUUAUAUACUUGACAUUCAUAUUAUAAAAUCAUCCAUUUUUAUGCCUUUGGUUACUUUUCCUUUAUUUUAUAUACAUGAUCUUAAUUUAGAUGUCAUUGAACUAGAGAACACAAGAAAUAUGAAAAAGAAAGGACCCAUCUCAAAUUCAGAUAACUUUAGACAGGAGUGGAACAUAAGUGAGUAUCUUUAAAAAAUCAGAUUCAUCUUCUAAAACUUUUGUCAUUUUGAACUUCACCCUUAAGCUUUGUGACACGUCUUCACUCUUACUUUUUUAAAGGGUUUUAUUUCUCACCACACAUCAACUAAGUCAUUAAAUAUGUAACAUGUAACUGUUGUAAUGCUACACAUACUGUAUACUAUUAAGUGACCCCUGUACAAUCCUGUUUUUUGAAAUAAAUAAAAUCACUAAGGACAUUCAGAAUAAGCUGGGACACAGUAUAUAGUGAGAACAACAAAUACACCAUCAUGAAAUUUCUGCCAUUAGAUACUAAGUAGUGAACAAGAAAUCCCCCAAAAAUAUUAAUACGUAAUUGCAUUGAUAGGAAGAAUACUAGGUUUCAUACAAUGAUAGAGAAAGUAUUUUGAUUAACAACUAAUGUUAAGGAAAGUUUCCUAGAAGAUAUCACUCUUAAUUGAAGCCCUGAAGGAUGGUAGGGUUUAGCCAGGGAAAAGGUAGAAAGAUAAGGCUUUAUUAGACAUAUUUACAAAUCCUAAGAGAACACAAUGACAUAAAGAAAUACAAUGAAAUUAAAUGUGUGAGUGGCAUGGUUUUUGAGGCAGGUAGUAAUGUGGAACUAAAGAUCUCCAGGAGAAGUUUUGAAGGCUUUGUGUAUACCAUGUUGAAGGUAGGUUUUUAUAAGGCUGGGAAGUGUCUGUGUGGAAUGGCUGCUCAGUGCUCUGGGUCAGUCUUCAAUCAACCAGCCAAUUACCAAGAAGGUAAUAAAUAAAUAACUUUUAUUGUAAGUUAAAGACAUGAAAAAGUUAUUCUGAAAAAGUGAUAUAAUCCAGUUCACGUGGGGUUUUUUUGUUUGUUUUGUUUUACUAAGAGUCAAACUCAUGACCCCAUGCUUGCCAAGCAUGUGCUGUGCCACUGACCUAUAUCCCCAGCCCCACAAUUUCACAUUAAACAAAAUGUUCUAUGGCUGAAUUCUUGCAAUGAGUGAAAAUAAUCACACAGUAUCUGUUAAAUUAUAUAUAUAUAUAUAUAUAUAUAUAUAUAUAUAUAUACUCACUAAUGAAAUUCAUUUAAAAAGGAUUUAAGAUUAAGGUAAAAAUGAUAAUGACAAACUGUCCUUUUGCUAUCCUUAAAUGUCUUUUGAUCCAUGAUAAGUGAAUAAUUUUCUACUUAGGAAAGUUUCAAAUUGUGUAAACUUAAGAUUUUGGGGGUGAAAAAAUAAAUAUGAUUUUAGACAUGCUUUUUAAAACACAAACAUAGUUAUGAAUAACACCUGUAAAUAUAGUUAUAGAAAUAGUUGCAUUCAAAUAGACUGUAAAUUUUUCCUUUUAAAUAAAAUCUUGCUCUCAUAUAUUUCUGCUAAAAUUAAUUUCAGUUCUAGAAGGUAUGGUUUAUGCCUUUAAAAAAACAUAAAUUCCAGAUAUUCCAACUUGUUUAACUUUGGCUCUGUGUGGGUGUACAUUAUGUCAUAAUUGUCUUAGUUACUUUUCCCAUUUCAGACACAAAAUAUCUGAUACUCAAAGUUAAAAGAGGAAGGGCUUAUUUAGCUCUCAGUUUAUGGAGGUUUCAGUUUAUAGUUAAUUCGCUCCAGCACAGGGGCAUUAAAGAAGAGAAAUAUUUUGUGGCAGGUAGACAGCAGUAAAGUGGCAGCUACAAGCAUCAACCUUUUUCUCUCUCUCCAACUUUGUGGGUGAGUAAUAUGCACACCCUUCAUCUUAGCAUCACAUCAUAAAUCAAUCGCUGCAUCACAUCCUUGACCCCAUAAACCAUACCACACACCCUAGAUCCAGCCAUCUCCAAAAAGCUGCAUCUAUGACCACAUACAACAGCUUUUGUGGCAUCUAAACACAAGCCAUAAGUUGACAGAAAUAAGUAGCAAUAUUGCAGAAUUUAGUAGAGAAACUCUUAUUAAAAAGUGCACUCUAACAAAAAAUUGGAUUUUCCAGAUACAUUUAUGGAAUCUAAAAACAAGUUAGACAAAAUGCAUUGGAAUUGGUUUCCAGAGGGAUGUGAAACAGCUCAUUUUGUAUGAAUUCUCAUUAUAAAGGUUAAUUUUGGACUUUGUAAAAGAAAAUGAUCAUAACCUCCUGUCAGAAAA
Long non-coding RNA from Cavia porcellus (domestic guinea pig), 74180 nucleotides. RefSeq lists it as uncharacterized. The record is from RefSeq and is a predicted model, not a curated record. NCBI's taxonomy places the organism in Eukaryota, Metazoa, Chordata, Mammalia, Rodentia, Caviidae. The transcript is spliced from 2 exons.